ACUGUUAGACAUUCAUUUUUUGUCAUAUAUUGGGCAAAAUCAUGCACUAUAUCAUGCAUCUUGAAUCUCAUUCCUUCACGAUCACUCUUCUCAAAAUCUUGGAAGAAAGAGCGCGUUGCUAAGACUUGAAAGUACUGCUCUCCUACAAGCUCCAUAUCUCCACCUGAAGUCUCCUUGAGGUAACCUUGAGCCAUCCACAUCUUCACCAAUUCAUCUUUGUCCAUCUCGUAGUCUUUUGGAAACAUGGCACAAUACAAGAAACAUCGUCUUACCACAGAAGGUAAAUCGUAGUAACUCAAAAGCAAAGGUGGAAAUAGUCCUCUUUCAACAUGUUCUAGCUCCCACAGUUCGCUAGAUAAAACAUGUUCCCACUCUUCUCUUGUUCUUUUAGACUGCAUUAGACCUCCUAAUACCUUGGCAGCUAGAGGCAAGCCCUUGCACUUGCUUGCAAUUUUGUCGCCGAUUUCUGUCAAUCUUUCGCACUCAUCUUUGCUUCUUUUAUGGAAUGCCACCUGAUUGAAUAUUGACCUGCAUACCUCAUCAGACAAUUUCUCAAGGUUGAUCACGUGGUCAGUUCCUAUCAUGGUUGCCACAGAAUGUUUACGACUGGUCACUAGAAUUCUGCUUCCUGUUGCACCGCCUUUGAGAGAUAGUUUCAGUGGUUCCCAUUGUCUAUGAUUUUCUGUCCAGACAUCAUCUAGGACAAGAAGGAACCUCUUUCCCUUAAUUGAUUCAGAAACACUUUGCAAAAGGGAUUCCAAUUCAACUAAAUUCGGUGCACCCCCUUGAAGCGCCUCAAGGAUAGCUUUUGAUAUCCUAACCUCAUCGAAUGGAUCUGAUACACACACCCAUAUCUUUUUCUCAAAAUGAGCCGUAACCCGAGCAUCAUUAAAAGCUAGUUGGGCGAGAGUUGUCUUUCCAAUCCCGCCCAUUCCUACUAUAGAGAUCUCCACGUCCCCUGCUUCCUGAAUACUUUCGCCCAGCAACUUGCUUACUACAGCUUCCCUUUCAUCAUCUCGACCACGCACGAUUGAUUCAUCAACAAGGGAGGUACUUGUUAUUCGUUGUAGUUCAUCAGUGGCUCUGUACAACUCAAAGCCAAACAUAGCUCUCUCUUUGGUAAUCUCAUCCACUUUUUCACAUACUUCUUUGAUCUUGAGGGCAAUGUCGCGACGUCGAGCCACUUGAUUGAAACAAAAGCAAGGAGAUCCCAGGAAGGAACAUCGCAUCUUCUGUAGGCUGCGAGUAUUUUCUUCAACUUCCUCCAUUUUCCAUCUAAGAAUUGCAGUGCUCCAUUCAUCUAGCACGUCAUCCAUAUCAUAGCAUACAUCUUUGAGCUUGUCUGCCCAAUCCCUUACAGCCUUAUCCUUCACUUGUUUUCUAUCUGCAUCUUCAAGGACAGAUUGGAUAGCAAGGAGAUUGCUUUUCAGCUUGUCGACUUGUUUCUGCACACCCCCUACUAGGUUCACUUCUUCCUGUACCUAUUGGUGUAGAAAAGACCAGAAAGUUCAAGCAGAGGAAACAGUUCUAUGAUUUCACUACAAGUUUUUAAUUUUAAUUUUUGGGAAUUAAUAGAUUAAAUAAUUUUUAUUAAUCUUUUUUCCGCAUAGUUCACACGUACAGUGAAUUGGAUUGGCUAUAUUAUAAAUUCAUAUAUAAAAUAUUUAUUAAGAACCUAUAUAUUAAAAAUAAUAAUAUUUCUUUUUAUCAUCAUCAUGAUGAUAUCUCUGUCUGCACUCUGCUACUAUACAAGAAAGGAAAAAAAUGAAUCUUAAAUUGUUCGACGUCAAACCUGUAUAUAACAUAAGCUUGGCGGAUCAAAGAAAUAUAAAAGGAAUAAAAGGAAAGUGAAUAAAAGGAUCUGUAUUUGUUGUUAUUUGUAAAGUCUAUAAUAAGAUUAUGGAAGAAAAAAAAGACUUAAAUUUUUAUAUUUCUUAUCAUGUUACGGUUAAUUCGAUCAUUGCAAAUUGUAUAAAAGUAAUUACCUGUUGAGCAACGACCGUGGUUAACUGCUCCAAAAUUGGCGAUAAAAGUGCCUCUGCCAUUUGUCUUUUUGGUUUAAUUUUAUUUUUAAAAAAGAGAUAAUUAUGAUGAUGAACUGAGAGAGAGAGAGAAGAGUGUGAGGGGAAGGAGGCUGCUGGUUGUGAAAUGAAGAGAGAGGGUUAGUUUAUGUACUUGGGGUUUGGUGAUGAGGGUUGACUAUUGUUUCCAUCCCUGUACUGUUUCUAACAUUUCAAUUCAGUCCCUGUAUUAUUGAACGUUUCAGUCUAGUCUCGGUCAGGGGUUUCCAUCUGCGGAUGGCUUUUCCUGAUUGUAUGUUUCUACUGAGAAUGACAUGCCAUUUUGAGUUCCAAAGGUGAAACACUCGUGCUUUUCUAACUUUUCCUGGCUAAGGAUUAUUAUUUGUGGAAAGUAAUUUCUUCUUCGAUUUAUAGCAAUUAUUUUGGAUUGAUACUGACCUUAGGUUAAGAAUGCUGUAGUUUCUACUGAAAUGUAUCUGAUACAGACCUUAGGGACAACUGAUUAUAGCAUUCUUCUCGUCUGCUUCUCUAUUUCUUCUCUUCAUUUUAUGUUAUUCCACUAGUCUUCCAAACUGGAUCACGGUGAUAUAUAUCUGUCCAUCCAAACUAAUUUACCCAAACCAAAAGUAGUAACCAAUUAGCUCGUGUAAUGGAACUAUAAACAAGCAUCUAUCUUUCUGGGUUUUUGAGAUCAGGUGAUUUUAUCCUGUUUUCAUAGCAGGGACUGGGGUUUGAUAUUGAUCUUUGAUUUUACCCAAACCAAAAGUUUGAAAGGAUUGCUGGUUUGUGUGAUUGGAGCUCCUUUCAAUGGGUGUGAAAAGGCCAAGAAAUGAGCAAGAUUUUCUGGAGGAAAGGAUUCAUAUUGUCUGGACUCAAUCACCUUCCUUUCUUCUUCUUCUUCUUUCUGCAGGAAAAAAGUAGAGCAGAGCAACCCUUUUUGACAGAGGCUAGUAAGUUGCAGAAGUUAGUAAGAAGUGGAUCAUUGAGCAACCAAAUAGCCAAGAUGUCUUAUUUCAAACCCAAGUACAGAUGAAUGCCGUAUUUUUAUUUUUCUAAGGAACUGCAUAUUUGUCCCCCCACUUCUUCUUUUUCUGUUGAAACAGCGACAGGGUACGUGUACUCUAGAAAAUAUUUAGAAUGGAAACAAAUAGAAAGUAGCUUAAAAUUGUGAAAAUAUUGUUUUUAAAUUGUUUAUUUCAAACCUAAUUAAUAAUAUGUUUUUGUUUUAGAUAGUUUUUGUGAUUCUGAUUUGAAAAAAAAUAAGUUUUAAAAAAGUACAGCUAGCUGUGAUUAAUUGAAUUUAAAUACGUGUUUAAUAAAAAUUAUGGUUAAAGUUUAUGUAUAAUAAAAAAUAUGUAUAAAAUAUUUGAUAGUUAUGUUUGAGACUGUGGUUGUGAUUGUUUUUUAAAGUGUUUUUUACAUUAAAAUAAUAUUUUUUUAUUUUAAAAAAAUUAUUUUUGAUAUCAGUGCAUCAAAAUGAUCUGAAAACACCAAAAAAAUAUAUUAAUUUGAAAUAAAAAAAAAUUGUUUUUUACCAGUAAAUCAAAGUGUUUUUUACCUCAUUUUUCCUUGAUUAAUUCUAACUACGAAACAGCUACUGCACCAACAAGAUGGAAAAGGCUCACCAAGAUGUUCUCUUUGAAAAGAUUCUCAAUGAGUCGUUGACAUCUCAUACUUGUCUAAAAAUUUUAAUCUUUUUUUGGAAAAGAUUCUCAGUGAGUCUGUCUCCUGGCUUAUUGAUCAACACUUUUAUCAUAUUGUGAACAAACAUGUCAAUUUCCAGAAUUUUAUUGAGUAGGAUGACUGUAUAGAAUUACUCUGAUUUAUCAACACAUAUCAAAUUCUUGCUGCUGCUGAGGAAGAUAUCCUGCACUUAGCCAUCAUAGAGGGUAGCAAGGUUUUGUGUUGAUGGUAAUUACACUGACUCAUCGUCUAUCAUCUAGAAUUCAAUUUUAAAAAAUAUUGCAAGAAAUGUUUUUUUUCCUAAAUACAUCGAUCGGGUGUGGAUAGAUUGAUUACAAAGCGACUUCCUAAAAAGUCUUGGUCUUAAUAUGCAAAGAUGAUCCAAGUAUGCCAUAUAUUAUUUUUUUAAAAUAAAACCCACAUAUCUAGUCCACGCAAAGGUACUCGAAUAUGGAUUUGUAAAAAUAAAAAUGAAUAUUUAUACGAAAUUGAAUUGUGCAAAUAAAACCCACAGAUCUAGUCCAUGAUCUACGGCUCCUCCAGAGUUCCGUAGUGGUGUCUUUCUCAACUAUUCUUUAAAUAAAAUGUUUGGGAUGUGAGAAAUCUUGUGCCUAUCUUCACCCCUCUCCUCCUUCCCGUAACGUUUCCUUAGAGAAUUUAUGUAGAGGCGCUGUCAAAACAUAGGCCGGUAGUGCUCUCAACAAUGGGCAUUUGAGAAUUCUAAACUCACAAGUUGUGGCAUGAUGAAUAUUGAAGUCGUGGUGGAAUCUUCUUCUCCCACUCUCCUUUCAAUCCCAUCCCACUCUUCUAGUUCUUUGAGAUGCCAAAUGCUGAGUUUUUUCAAUUUAGGGAAAGGAGAGUGGUAGUUUUUUCAAUUGGGGCAAUACUCUUCCAAUUCUCUUUCACUAAUAUUUAUUGGUGGAAAAAAUCACUGAUAGUAGUUUUAAAACACUCAAAGAAAAUAAAACAUAUUGUUUUAUUUCAACAACAAGAAGCUUACAAUAAUUAAACAAAAGCUUUUAAUACACACCCUCUUUUUCUCUCUAGUGUUCAUCUCUUAUCUUUCCCACACACAAUUACAUAAACUUACCUAUCUAUUUAUACACAAAUUAAAAGUAAAAAAAAAAAAAUCAAACUUCAAGUGUGAAGGCGGCUGGUGGCUAAACAGUGGGGUCCUUUUGUAUUUUGUCAAAAGAGAUGAAAUUAUAAUCAAUGAUGAUGAUAUAUAUAUAUAUAUAUAUAUAUAUAUAUAUAUAUAUAUAUAAACUACUAUGUGCAUUCUAUAAUUUAGUUAUAUAAUACAAUAGAUCUUUACAAUUAGUGAUUUCAACUUACCAAUAGAGAAAUUAUAGUAGAUCUUUACUAUGAUAUAUUCAAAAUAAAUAAAUAAAACAGGUAUACUUCAACACGCAUAUUAUACAUACACUUCUUUUUUAAAAAUUAAUCAUAAAAAAUUGAUUAGUUAUUUAUUAUAAAAAUCAGACCUGUAAGUUAUAUCUAAAUCAUUGAAAAUAGUAAAGGUAAACUAAUUAGAAGAGACAAUGUAUUUCAAAUUAGUUAAUUUAUAUAGAAUUAUUUUAGUUACUAAAUUAAAAAAUUCAAAUUUUUAUAUCACUUGGAAUACAUAAGGUGGAUUUAAUCCACAAAAUCGAUGGGUGAUAACCUCUAAGAUAUCGAUGGGUACAUAUAUGGUGGAUUUAAUCCACAAAAUCAAUAAGAGACCAAUCGGCUAGCUCCAAAAUCAAACCAUCUCCACCUCAUUCAAACACGAUUUAAAAUAAUCAACACCACCUUUUUAUACAAUGUGGGAUUAAUGAGGAUAUAAAUCCAAGGCUCCAACAUCCAAAGUCUCAAUCUUAGAUUUAUUAGCUAGUAUAGCAACGCCUCAUUGGCAAGAACCCAAAUCACUAAGCUCAAAUUACUAAUAAAAAUUAUAAAUUUUCAGAUAAUAUUUUUAAUAUUUAAUCUUUCUAGCAAUUGAUGAUAGCAAUUGCAAAUGAAUAGAGGAGGAAGCAUCGAGAUCAUUGGCUUGUUUGAAGGCAAAUGGACCCUUUGAUCGUUAGAUGAUGCAUCUAAAUGAGGCUCCACAUUAUAAAAGCGUAAUUAGGUGGCACGCGCUAUCCCACAAACUCACCUUAGAUUUUCAAAAUAAAAUUAGAUGGAGGAUCCAUGUCUAUUUGGGUCCUCCCUAGACAGGACCCCAACAUAUUCGGGUCCAGUAACGACCAGGUCCAAGUCUAGCGUUGGGCUAGGUUGGGUAGGACCCAAGGUUAUUUGGGUGUACCUGGCAGAAUCCAAGAUUGUUUUUGAGUCCUGCAACUAAUAAUUAUAUGUAAUUUCUAAAUGAAACUAAAUGUAAAAUUAAAUAUAAUUUGAUAAAAUUAUUAUAAACAUUUGGUAAAAUUAGUAAAUGAUAUAACAUUUUCUUUCAAAUUCAUCAAUUAUUUAAAUAUUAAGUACAAAAAAUACUCUUAUGAAUUUUGAUAAAAAUAAUAAUAUUUAUAAUACAACUGAUAACAUUUUUAGUAUUAAAUUAUUAAUUAAUAUAAAUAAUAUUAUUUAUAACACCAAAAAUAAUAAUAUUUUUGAGAUUAAUACUAUUAAUUAGACUAAAAAAUAAUAUUAAUAAAACAAAUAAUAAUAUUUCUAAUACUAAUACUAUUAAUUAUACUAAAAAUAUAUAUUAAUAAAAAUAUAAAAUACUCUUAAUAUUAAUUAUACUAAAAAAAUAUUAAUAAAACAAAUAAAUAUUUUAAUACUAACUUGUAAUUAUACUAAAAAUAUGGGCAGCCCAAGCGCUAAGUGAUGCUUGGACUACACUCAAGAGAAAUCAUAUUAUUUUAAAAUAUUUGUCCACUAAUUGCUAUUGAAUUUAAAAUAAAUAUACUUUUAAAACUAAUAUAAAGUUACCAAUAGUCGAUUUGAUAGCUGCUUGCAUAAAAUCUCAUUGAAUUUGGCCAAUGGUUUUUUAGAAUAAAGUAAAAAAAAAGUUAUUUCAAAACAUAACCAAAGUAGUUUUAGUUAUUUGUCAGAAACUAGUAUAUCCCAUAAAAAUCAGAGUUUUGGAUGAAAUAAAAUCAAUUCUAAAAUCAAACGCCGAUUGAAGCUUCAACGCAUUUGUGAACUAGAGAAUUUAAUUAUUAAACUCGUUUGUUUCGCGUUCAAAAAUAUUUUAAAAUUAUUUUAUUUUUUAUUUAUUUUUUUGUUUUUUAAAUUAAUAAUUUUUUUAGUAUAUUUAGAUCAUUUUAAUGUGUUUAUAUAAAAAAUAAUUUAUAAAAAAUAAAAAAAAUUAUUAUUUUAAUAUAUUUCUAAUAAAAAAUACUUUGAAAAAUAAUUAUAAUAAUACUGUCACACAUGCUGUUUAAUGUUUGUUCAAAAAUUGUGCUUUUUAAAAUAUGCAUUCUAACGCAAAGAAAGCAUAUAAAACACAUCAAAGUUGCAAAAGUACGUAGUUUUAAUUAUUAGCAAAAGUAUUCUAAAAUAUGAAAAGAUAGGUUUAAAUACCCUAAAUAUCCGUAAAUAACUAGAAAAAAAUUAAUAAAACUAAAAUCCAAAAUUAUCAAGGCAAAAAUCUAAAAUAUGGUCUGAAACUUCAAAGGCAAUUUUUUUAGAGUGGCAUUUGGAGAAUUUAAGUAAGGAAAAAGCUUCACGUGAGCGAGAUAAUAUCAUCUUAGAUUAAUUCUUUAACAUGUAAAAUUUAAGUCUAAUUCAAUAAUUAAAUAAAAAAUUACCUCUUCCUGCCGGUCUUAACUAUUCUUUAAAUAUAAACAUAUGAAUUACAUAUUAUUUUAUAUAUGUUGAGAGAGAGAGAGAGAGAGAGAGAGGAUGUAUACUAUAUAUAUCACAGCUGCCUUUGAUAGAAUAAAUGGUAAGUAGGAAAUACAAUCCAAAGUCAACAUUAUACAGUAAAGAGGUAUAUGAAACAUACCUCGUCCUGCCUGUCCUACAGAUUAUGGUAAGUCGGAAAUCGAAUUACAGUAAAGAGGUCACAUAGAGUAAAUAGUAAGGCUUACAUAUUAUUUACACUCAACCUUAGCAAACACCAAAGCAAAUAAUUAAUACACUCAGAACCAAAUCUUUUACCGUUAAGAAUUAACACUGGUGGAAGAAUUUAUCAUCAAAAUAAAUGUUUGGGAUGUGAGAAAUCUUUUGCCAAUCUUCACCCAUCUCCACCUCCUUCCCGUAACGUUAGAUUGGGGCAACCAUAUGCGUAGAUCCUGUAUAGGCGCUGCCAAAACAUAGUCUGGUAGUGCUCUCAACAACGGGCACCAACGAAUUGUCAACUGUCGAAGUUGUGGCAUAAUGGAUAUUAUUGAAGUUGUGUUGGCAUCUUCUUCUCCCACUCUCCUUUGAAUUCCAUCCCACUCUUCUACUUCUUCGAGAUCCCAAAUCUCAAGUUUUUUAAUUUGGGGAAAGCAGUGACCCUUGCAAUUUCUCCUUCCUUAAUACUGGCAUUCUCAUCUUUUUCUAUACCUAAAAAUCCACCAUCCAGCCUUCUCACCUUCAAAAGUACCAGGUGUUCAAGGUUGGGCAAUCUUCCCAACGGAGGCAAGAACUCCACGUUUUCACAAUAACGGAGUGUCAGCACCUGUAAUCUGGUCAAUGUCAUCAUCCAAUUUGGCAAUUCCAACCCUCCGUAACAAUAUAUGCUUAGAUCUUCCAAGUCUGACGGAGGCUGCAAAGCUUCAAUUAAAGAGCCUUCAUGCUCUGGCAACACUGUUUUCUCUCCGAAGAAAUUCAAUACCAAACGAAACAGGCGCUUCUUAUUCUUGAGUUGUGCUUCUGCAGCGUCACUCGCAUCUUCUUUACCUCCUCCUAGAUUCCGUAUCUGAAGACUCCCUCCAAUGUGAUUUAAGUUUUUUAAUUCUCUUAGAUUAGCUGCUUUACUUUCAUUCUCACCACCACCACACACAGUAAACACAUCUAAUGUACCAACAGGUGUGUGGCUCAAGUGGUGAAGGGGGCAGCUCUCCUUUCAUCGAACCCAGGUUCGAAUCCCAGUGGGAGUGGGGCUGGAGAGUUUGCUCUCUUCCUAUUUCUCUUGGGUCCUCCCUGUGCGGUAUCCCUGUCACCCCCGCGGUGUCUUACCUGCUCACUAGGGCUUGCAGGAUGUUCAGUGGGCCGUGGGAUUAGUCGUGGUGCGCGUAAGCUGGCCCGGACACCCACGUUAUCAAAAAAAAAAAAAAAAAAAAAAAAACACAUCUAAUGUUUAGUUAUAUAAUUGAUCAUCGUGGCUACAAAAUGAAGUGGAACUAAUAAUUAAUGGAGUGGAAUACUAAAUAAAAUGAAUUGCUAUGUGUAUUCUAUAAUUUAGUUAUAUAAUAUAGGCAGAUAUGUACAAAUUAGUCAUUUCAACUUAUCAAUAAAGAAAUUAUAAUAGAUUUUCACCGUGGUAUGAUCGCAAUAAAUAAAAUAAAAUAGAUAUAUCUCACAGCAUUAAUAAUUUUUUAGUUUUUGUUAAACAAUGUCAACAUAUAUAUAUAUAUUAUACAUACACUCAUUUCUUUAAAAAUAAUUAUAAUAAAAUUAAUUAGUUAUUUAUUAUAAAAACCUGACCUAUGAGUUAUGUCUAAGCUGUUAAAAAUAGUAAAAAUAAAAUAAUUUGAAAAUAGAAUUAUUAAUUAAUUUAUAUCAAGUUGUUUUAUUUAUUAAAUUAAAAAAUCCAAGUUUUAUAUCACCUAGAUUACUUAUGUUGGAUUUAAUCCAUAAAAUUGAUGGGUAUCAUCUCUUAUAUAUGAAUCGAUGGGUAUCAAGUUACAUGCCAUCUUGCAAAUUAGAAUAAUAGACCACUCGACUGGCUCCAAAAUCAAACCAUCUCCACCUCAUUCAACACGAUUUAAAAUAAUCAACACCACCUUUUUAUACAAUGUGGGAUUGAUGAGGAUAUAAAUCUACAGACUCCAACAUCCAAAGUCUCAAUCUUAGAGUUCUUAUCUGGUAUAGUAACGCCUCAUUGGCAAUAACCCAAAUCACUAAACCCUAAAUCACUAAUAAAAAUUACAAAUUUACACCGAAUUUGAACAAAUUUCUACCAGCCGAUGUCACUAAACUCAAAUUACUCCUAAAAAUCUCAAUAUAAACCCAUUAACUACUAGACCAACAACUCAUUGGCUAGAAUCCACGUUGCUUUUCCACAACAAUCAUCAGCUUCUUCAAUUAGGAUGCUACAAGCCCUUGUCUAUAUACUAGCUUAAAUUGCAACAACCUUUGAUUCCGAGAGAAGUUUGGCCUGAUCCAACGGUAGUCAAUGCGUGCUCAAUCUGUACUAGCUUUCUGGUAGGACUGAAAGUAGUGAGAGAAAAGGAGUACUGGCUAUCACCCAUGGUUUAUUGCUUGAAGACGCAGAGAGGAAAAACUGCGAAUGCGAGCGUGUGGGAGAGAAAGGCAAGGAUAUUUACUUGGGGUUUGAACUUUGCUUUUCUUGUUGGAGAAGGAGGAGUUUUCUUACGAGGGCUUUUACAAUGGAGUAUUUUGGGCUUUUAUGACGGCAGGUUGGUUCUCUUUACAUUGAGCUCAAUGAAGGCUUUAAUUUUUUAAACUUAACUUUAUCCGGGUCAGUUCACGGGAGAAGUUUAAUUUUUUUUUUUUUAAGAAAAUAAAAUAACAUUAUUUUUAGUACUUUUUUAAAAUGAUAUUUUACCUGAGUCCACAGGCGAUGUAUAAAGUUUUUUUUAUUUAAAAUAAUAUUUUUUUUUUAUUUUAAUAUUUACUUACUAUUUGUAUACUAAAACAGUAAAACAUGUGAGAUUUUCACUUUAUAUUUGUUACUGUGCAAAAUUUUAUUUUUUAGUUUAGUCCUCAAACUUUAUUUUUGAACUAUCAAGUCCUAUUUAAAAAACAAUUGAUUUUAAAUUCUGAUAAAAAAUUUGGAUUGGAAGAGAGGAACUGAAAUGAAAAACACGAUAGAUAUGGGUAACGCACCUUAAAUUUUUAAAACAUUCUCUUUGGUCUUCCAACUUAAACAAUCACACAAAUUAUAUAAUUUUGGUACCUCAAAAUUGUUCCAAUUCCAUUUUGGUGCGAAGAUUUAUUUUUGUUAUUUUCUAGUUCCUAAUUAAGAGAGGAGAGAAAGAAAGGGGUCACUAGAUUCCAAUAAUAAAAAGAGAAACUUGUCGUUGACACCAACUUAAACCACUAAAAUAAGGGAUCUUUAUGUCAAAUUAUUAGGGGAGUUCCUAUUAGAUGUUUUUGUAACUUAAAAGUUCAUGAAAAAAAGGAUCUAAACUCGGGUUAAUUUUUUUUAUUUUAGACUGUGUUUGGUUUUUUAGGCAGUUUUUUGGAUCUAGUAUGGUUUCCCGAUCCAAGUACCUAGGGUCUGGCAUAGUUGCUAUAAAAAUAUAACUUUAAAGAAUAUAAUUAAAAACAAAUAAAGUGACGUGAUUAGUUAAAAACUAAAAAUAAUAAUAAAAAAAAAGACUUAACCUCAUUUUUUUGUUGUUCAGAAGGCUUCUUUUAAAUAAUAUUAAUUUUUUUUAUGAGUUUAAUUUUCAGAGAGGUUUUCUAGUGUAUUUAUGGUUUUGUUUGUCUUUUAUAUAAAUAAAUUAUAUUUUGAAAAUAACAAAAUAUUUAUUUUCAGAUAAUAUUUUUAAUAUGUAGUCUUCGUAGUGAUUGAUGAUGCCAAUUGUAAAUGAAUGGAGGAGGAAGCAUCAAGAUCGUUAGCUUGUUUGAAGGCAGAUAGACCUUUGAUCAUUAGAUGAUGCCUCUAAACGAGGCUCCAUAUUAUAAAGGCAUAACAAAGAGAGGAUGAGAGAAAUAAUUAUAGACCAGUUAGGUGGUUUGUGCUACAUCGCGGGCUCACCUUUAAUUUCUAAAAUAAAACUGGGUGAGUACCCAAGUCUAUUUAGGUCCUUUUCAAAUAGGAGCCAAGCAUAUUUGGGUUCUAUCGCGGCCAAGCCAGGUAGGACCUAAGGUUAUUUGGGUCAUGUACCUGGCAGGACCCAAGGUUAUUUUUGAGUCCUACAACUAAUAAUUUGUAUUUAAUUUUUAAAUAAAACUAAAUGUAAAAUUAAGUAUAAUUUGAUAAAAUUAUUAUUACAAUACAUUUGGUAAAAUUAAUAAAUGAUAUAACAUUUUCUUUCAAAUUCAUAAAUUAUUUUAUUAAUAAUAUUAAUUACAAUAAAAUAUACUCUUAUAAAUUUUAAUAAAAAUAAUAAUAUUUAUAAUACAACUGAUAAAAUUUUUAGUAUUAAUAUUAUUAAUUAAUAUAAACAUAAUAUUAUUUAUAACACCAAAAAUAAUAAUAUUUUUGAGAUUAAUACUAUAAAUUAGACUAAAAAAUAAUAGUAAUAAAACAAAUAAUAAUAUUUUUAAUACUAAUACUCUUAAUAUUAAUUAUACUAAAAAAAACUAUUAAUAAAAAAAAUAAUAUUUCUAAUACUAAUAUUUGGAAUUAUACUAAAAGUAUGUACGGGCAGCCCAAGCGUUAAGUGGCGCUUGAACUGCACUCAAGAAAAAGCAUAUUAUUUUAAAAUAUUAUUUGUCCACUAAUUGCUAAUAUAAAUACACUUUUAAAACUAAUAUAAAGUCACCCAGAGUCAAUUUGAUAGCUGCUUGCAUAAAAUCUCAUUGAAUGUGGCCAAUGUUUUUUAGAAUAAAGUGAAAUAAAAAGUUAUUUCAAAACAUAACCACAGUAGUUUUUAAUUAUUGGUCUAGAAACUUUAGUAUAUCUCAUAAAAUCCAUGAGUUUUGGAUGAAAUAAAAUCAAUUCUAAAAUCAAACUCCGAUUGAAGCUUCAACUGCAUUUGUGAGCUAGAAAAUUUAACUUAUUAAGUUAGGUUUGUUUUUGCAUUUUAAAAGCGUUUUUAAAAAUUUUAAAUUUAUUUUAUUUUUUUCUUUGCUUUAAAUUAUUUUUUUUUUGUGUUUUUAGAUCAUUUUGAUGCGCGAAUAUCAAAAAUAAUUUUUAAAAAAUAAAAAAAAUAUUAUUUUGAUAUAUUUCUAAGUAAAAAUCAUUUUAAAAAGUAAUCACAACAAUAUUUUCACACAAUCUCUUCAAAACUUGUGCUUUUUAAAACAUGCAUUCAAACGCAAAGAAAGCAUAUAAAACACAUCAAAGUUGCAAAAGUAUGUAGUUUUAAUUAUUAGCAAAAGGGUUUAAAUACCCUAAAUAUCCGUAAAUAACUAGAAAACAAUUAAUAAAAAAAUAAUAAAACUAAAAUCCAAAAUUUUCAAGGAGAAAAUCUAAAAUAUGGUCUGAAAUUUCAAAGGCAGCUUUUUUAGAGUGGCAUUUGGAGAAUUUAAGUGAGGAAUAAGCUUCACGUGAGCGAGAUAAUAUCAUCUUAGAUUAAUUUUUUUAACAUGUAAAAUUUAAGUCUAAUUCAAUAAUUAAAUAAAAAAAAUUACCUCUUCCUGCCUGUCUUAACUAUUCUUUACAUAUGAACAUAUGAAUUACAUAUUAUUUUAUGUUGAGAGAGAGAAAGAGAGAGAGAGAGAGAGAGAGAGAGGAUGUGAGAGAGAGAGAGGGGUGUAUAUAUAUAUCACAGCUGCAUUUGAUAGAAUAAAUGGUAAGCAGGAAAUACAAUCCAAAGUCAACAUUAUACAGAUAUUUGACUCACAAUAAAUCAUCCAUACUCUUAUAAAAAAUAAAGAUGGGUAAACUCUUAAUUAGGCCUUGCUGCUGAAUUUUGUUGUUGAUUUGUAAUUUAAUUAUUGUUGAAGAUUUUUUGUGUUGGCAACCCAAACUAUCAUUGUGUUGGGUUUGGAUAACUUUAUUUGGAUUUAAUCUCCAAAAUCGAUGGGUAUCAUCACUUAUAGAUGAAUGGUUUAGCUUCUCUCAUUUUUUUGGAUUUAAUCCACUGAAACUGAGGUUUAAGAAUUUCUUGGAUUUAAUCCACUGAAACAGUUGCUUGAUCAAGAUCAUUGGCUUGUUUGAAGGCAGAUAAAGGCUUAAAAAAGAAGAAGCAAAUAUCAUCUUAGUUGAAAUUUCAAAGGCAAUUUUUUAGAGUAAAGAGGAAAUAAUUAAUACACUCAAAGCAGGUUCUAAAGAGUUCUGUCUUUCUCACCAAACAUGCAAAUAAAUCUUUGGGAUGUGAGAAAUCUUUUGCCAAUCUUCACCCAUCUCCUCCUUCCUACAGCUGUAACGUUUCCUUAGAAUGGGGCAACCCCUUAUCCCCAAUGCCUGCAGAGGCGCUGCCAAAACAUAGUCUGGUAGUGCUCUCAACAAUUGGCAAUAUUCAAUUCCCAAGUACUGAAGUUGUGGCAUAAUGGAUAUUAUUGAAGUUGUGUUGGCAUCUUCUUCUCCCACUCUCCUUUCCUUCCCACUCUUCUACUUCUCCGAGACCGUCCAUCCAAAGUUUUUUUAAUUUGGGGAAAGCAGUGACCCUUGCAAUUUCUCCUUCAUUAAUACUGGCCUUCUCAUCUUUUUCUAUACCUAAAAAUCCAGCAUCCAACCUUCUCACCUUCAUUGAGCUCAAUACCAGGCUUUCAAGGUUGGGCAAUCUUCCCAACGGAGGCAAGACCUCCACGUUUUCACAAUCACGGAGUGUAAGCUUCUGUAAUCUGGUUAAUGUCAUCAUCCAAUUUGGCAAAUCCAACCCUCCGUAGCUAUACAUGGUUAGAUUUUCCAAGUCUGACGGAGGCUGUAAAACUUCAAGUAAAAUGUCGUUCUCCCGGUUGAAGUCAAAAUCCAAUUGCAAACAAAGCAGGCGCUUCUUAUUCUUGAGUUGUGCUUCUGCAGCGUCACUCGCAUCUUCUUUACCUCCUCCUAGAUUCCGUAUACGAAGACUCCCUCCAAUGUGAUUUAAGUCUUUUAAUUCUCUUAGAUUAGCUGCUUUACUUUCAUUCUCACCACCACCACACACAGUAACACAUCUAAUGUUUGAAGACAUGUUAUCCUCUCUACUCCCUUUGGUAUGAAGGCCACACCUGAAAGAACAACCCGGAGAUGCCUCAAUUUGAUAAGUUUUCCAAUCGCAUUAGGCAAUUCCUUGAGAGAAGCACACAGAGUAACGUCUAGGGAUUGCAGAUUGCAUAAAUCACACAUGGUUUCUGGCAGGGACUCCAACUGAUAACAAGAUGCCACAUUGAGGUGUCUCAAAUGUAUCAAAUUCCCUACCUCGUUUGGUAUUUCUUUGAUUGAAGACCUUGUCAAAUUCAAUGACCUGAUGCAUGUCAACUGCUUGAACAAAUCAGGCAGUGCAACUCCAAGCGAAGGGUCUCUAGUGUCCAUCAAGAGGCUGCGAAGACCUUUUGCUUUGUGAAUGGACUUGGGAAACGAGCUCUCCUCUGACAGCAUCAUGCUUAAAUGACGAACCCUUUCAAUUGAAGUCUCCACUGUUGCUUUUCCAAGUUUACUGGCAUCCACUGUUAGACAUUCAUUUUUUGUCAUAUAUUGGGAAAAAUCAUGCACUAUAUCAUGCAUCUUGAAUUUCAUUCCUUCACACCAAUCCAUCUCAAAAUCUUGGAAGAAAGAACGCGCUGCUAAGACUUGAAAGUACUGCUCUCCUACACCCGAAGUCUCCUUGAGGUAACCUUGAGCUAUCCACAUCUUCACCAAUUCAUAUUUUCCCAUCUUGUAGUCUUUUGGAAACAUGGCACAAUACAAGAAACAUCGUCUUACCACAGAAGGUAAAUCGUAGUAACUCAAAAGCAAAGGUAUAAAUAUGCGUCUUUCAACCUGAUCUCUAUCAACCUCAUCUAGCCUCCACAGUUCGCUAGAUAAAACACGUUCCCACUCUUCUCUUGUUAUUUUAGACUGCAUUAGACCGCCUAAUACCUUGGCAGCUAGAGGGAAGCCCUUGCACUUGUUUGCAAUUUUAUCUCCGAUAUCUGUCAAUCUUUCGCACUCAUCUUCGCUUCUUUCCUGGAAUGCCACAUGAUUGAAUAUUGAACUGCAUAUCUCAUCGGACAAUUUCUCAAUGUUGAUCCGGUGGUCAGUUCCCAUCAUCGUUGCCACAGCGUCCUUACGAGUGGUCACUAGAAUUCUGCUUCCUCGUGCACAGCCUGUGAGAGAUGGUUUCAGUUGUUCCCAUUGUCCAUGAUUUUCUGUCCAGACAUCAUCAAGGACAAGAAGGAACCUCUUUCCCUUAAUGGAUUCAGAAACCCUUCGCAAAAGGGAUUGCAAUCCUACCAAAUCAGAUGCCCUCCCUUCAAGCUCCUCAAGGAUACCUUUGGCUAUUCUAACCUCAUCAAAUGGUUCUGAAACACACACCCAUAUCUUUUUCUCAAAAUGAGCCGUAACCUCAGCAUCAUUAAAAGCUAGUUGGGCGAGAGUUGUUUUUCCAAUUCCGCCCAGCCCUACUACAGAGAUGACAUCCACGUCCCGUGCUUCUUGACUACUUUCAGCCAGCAACUUGCUUACAACAUUUCUCUUUUCACCAUCUCGACCAAUCACGCUUGAUUCAUCAAACAAAGGAGGUAGUUGUUAGUCGCUGGAGUUCAUCAGUGGCUUUGUACAGAUCAAAGCCAUACUUAGCUCUCUGUUUGGCAAUGUCAUCCACUUUUUCACAAACUUCUUUGAUCUUCAGGGCAAUGCCGCGACGUCGAACCACUUGAUUGAAACAAAAGCAAGGAGAUCCCAGGAAGGAACACCGUAUCUUCUGUCGGCUGUGAGUAUUUUCUUCAGCUUCCUCCAUUUUCCAUCUAAGAAUUGCAGUGCUCCAUUCAUCUAGCACGUCAUUCAUAUCAUAACAUGCAUCUUUGAGCUUGUCUACCCAAUAUCUUACAGCCUUAUCCUUAACUUGUUUUCUAUCUGCAUCUUCAAGGACAGACUGGAUAUCAAGGAGAUUGCUUUUCAGCCUGUCGACUUGUUUCUUCACACCCACUACUAGGUUCACCUCUUCUUGUACCUAUUAGUGUACAAAAGAUAAGGAAGUUCAGGCAGAGGAAACAUUUCUAUGAUUUCACUGCAAAUUUUUAAUUUUAAUUUUUUGUAAUUAAUAGAUUAAUAAUUUUUUUUAAUCUUUUUUUCGCAGUAGCUGACACGUACAGUGAAAUGGAUUUGCUAUAUUAAAAUAUAUAUUAAAAUCCUAUAUAUUAAAGAUAAUAAUAUUUCUUUUUAUCAUCAUCAUGAUGAUAUCUGCCUGCACUCUGCUACUAUACAAGAAGGAAGAAACCUAUAUAUAACAUAAGCUUGUUGGAUCAAAGAAACAUAGAGAAUGAAAGGAUCUGUAUUUGUUGGUAUUUGUAAAGUCUAUAGUUUUAAAGUGAAAAAUAUUCUUCCUUCAUAACACUCACUAAUUAUUUUAACAUUUGAUUGAUUAUUUUACAGUUUAGUGAGAGGAUCGACAACUACUACUCCUUUUUCCUUCUAAGGAUAUUUGUUUUAGAUUAUUUCCGGAAAUAUGAAAAACAAUAAAACAAUAAAAAGAAAUUUCUUUAAUAAAAUCCAAAUCUAGAUCUGAGGAUUUGAUAUUUUAUUUUAUUUUUCUAAUAAAGGAAGAAAAAGAGACUUCAUUUUUAUAUUUCUUAUUCAUGUAAGGGUUAAUUAGAUCGUUGCAAAUUUUACAGUUAAGCAGUAGUUUGCUGAUUGAAAUGACUGUAAAUGGAUCCCAAUUGGAAACUGUCAUAAUUGAACUGCGAGCUCCGUUUUAUGUUUCUUCAGAACAUCAGUUUCCAUCGUGAUGCCUUCUUCCUUCAUCAAAAAGUGGGCAAAAUCAUAGGAGUAUGUGUCGCCUCUUCAACUUUAAAGAGUCCUCCUUCUUUUCUUGAAAAUCCUGGAAAAAAAGCUAAGAUUUUGAAGUACUCCUUACCAGCCAGCUCCAUUUGAUCUGUAUGGAAACGGACAGCUCUCCAUCAAUCAGCAACGGAGGGGUAGGGAGGUGAAGAAGAGAGGGAAUAGAUGAAAUCCCUAAUAGUAGCUUGGUGUUUUUUGUUCCAAUGACCAAACCAGAUAAUGUACGAGUUGACAGGUGCAGCCAGAACAGGCCCCUAGAAAAGCAACUGAAGGUCUACUACAUCAGAUGACCCUUCAUAGUUCUUGGCCCGGUUGAAUAGGUCGUCUAGACAAACAAAACAGAGAGAGCAAGAGUACAUUGUGUAGCAUAAGCUUAUUAUGCAUUUAAGUCUUUAGACUUUUUUUAUUAUUAUUAUUAACGUAGGUGUCCAGGUCAGCUUCCGCGCACCUUGAUUAAUCUCACGGGCACAUUGUCAGAAAUUACAGCAAGAAAUUCUGUAAUUAUUGUAAGAAAGAAGGGCAUGUAAUCAAGGAAUGUCGUCUGCGACCACAAAAUCGACAAGGAUUUACUGUGCAGUCGAAAUUGGGGGCUGCUUUUAUGGCCGCCGAAGCCGUGUCCUCACCAUCGACACUGGAAUCUUCAUCGUCGGUGAGCUCUUCGUCGAGCACUCUCACUCCCGAGAUGGUGCAGUAGAUGAUAAUAUCUACCUUCUCUGCACUCGGGAUUUCUGGUAAGAAAAAUAAACUUAACUUUCCCUUAGAUUCAGCACAUAAUAAACAAUGGUUAAUGGAUUUGGCAUCGUCUAAUCACAUGACCAACAGUGAAAAUGGGUUGUGUAAUGUGCUAAAAUACAUGGGUAAUUAGCAUAUACAGGUAGCAAAUGGUGAUAAUCUGCCAAUUUUGUCGAUUGGUAAUUUGGGGUCUUACUUCAAUAAUAUUUUUGUGUCACCAAAAUUAUCAACAAGUUUACUCUCUGUUGGUCAAAUGGUAGAAAAUAACUGUGAAAUUCACUUUGAUCAUCAUGGUUGUUGUGUGCAGGAUCAAGUGUCGGGGGAAGGUAAUCGCGAAGGGGCCUAAAGUGGGACGUUUAUUUCCAAUACAAUUUUCUAUUCCUAGUAUUAAUUCUUGUGCUUAUUCUACUCUCAUUCAUAAUCCUCAUUUUUGGCAUAAGAAAUUAGGGCAUUCUAAUUCUAAUGUAUUGACUUAUCUUAUGAAACAUGGAUAUUUGGGGAAUAUAAACUCUUUUUCAACAGAAUUUUUGGAUUGUAGUUCUUGCAAAUUGGGUAAAAGCAAAGCAUUAUCAUUCCCUUCACAUGGUAGUUGUGCUUCUAAAUGUUUUGAAAUUAUUCAUACUGAUGUAUGGGGCAUAAGCCCUGUUAUCUCUCAUGCUAAGUAUAAAUAUUUUGUCACGUUUGUUGCUACCUAAUUUUUGAUAAAUUUUCAGAAAAAUCAAAAAUAGCAAAAAAAACAAAGAAAAACCCAAAAAUAUAUUUUUGAUGUAUUUGCAUCGUUUUUAGCAUUUUCAAUGCCAUCUCAAAAGAAUUUAAAUUUUUAAAGGAAUUUUGGAACGCGUUCAACUUUUAACGCGUAAAAUUUUAUGAUCACUGAUUUUUAUUUUUGAGUUGACGGUGAUAUUGCUCGCUUUCGAAAACACAAAAAAAGAGAGAAAAUCAAAAUUUAAGAAAAAAAAGAGGAAAAGUUGAGGGACCAUUGUGAUUUUGGCCAUGCCACAUUUCUCCUAUAAAUACUAAGCUACAGUAAUGAACCAAGGGGCGAAAAAUAGACACAGGGAGAAAAAUGGUUUCACGGGGGAGAAAUUUACAUGGGGGGAAAGGCAAGUAGAAAAAAACCCUAAAGCCAAAAAAAAAAACCUAGAAACUAAAAAAACCCUUUCUUCCCCGGCAGCCGCCCUUGGCCUUUGAAAAAAACCUAGAACUAAUGAUUUUCUUCCUUAGCCACAACGCUGACCUCUCUUUUUGAAAAAGGGAGGAACAGACCGCCGCUGCAGAGUCUUUGAAAGGAAAAAGUCACCUGGCUAGGCGUUUCAAACAGCCCCGCCUCUCCUCUCUCCUUUUCUUCUCCCGAAACUAGCCAAAACUGACCCUCUCACUCUCAGCACAAAGCAGCCGCCCCCUUUACCCCCAUCUUCUUCUCCCUCAACCGACAGAUCUCACCCUCCAAUAGCAACCCCUCUUGCACGAAAAAACCCAGAGAAACCGUCCCUAAGCUCUCCAUUUUCCCUGCAGGAGGAGAGAAACCCACCGGACACAAGCCUUCUCCAGGUCUCCCCCGGAGCCGCCGCCCCCCAUCGUCUUGGAUUUGUUUCUCUCCCGAGACCAGCCGGCCACUCAUUUUUUCCCUUGGCUUGCUAAACAAAGCGGAGAAACUGGAGAGCAUCAGACUGACCUCUCUCUCCCUCGGCCGACCACCAUCAACCGGUCAACAGCAGCAUCUUCCCUUCUCCUGCAGCUCGUUACAGAGACAAUGAGAAGGGAGGCCAGAGGAUAGUGAAGAAGGGGCAGAAAACCGAAGCUUGGAUGGGCGCCGAUCUCGCAACCAUGGCAGCGGUGGACAACACCACCGUUGCAGAAACGAAAUGGGAGGAAGGGAAGUUGCUGAUCCAGCCAUCCACACGCCUGGUCUGUGGGCGGCGCGUGUAACGCCCAGCUUCAGAUUCGGCAGAUUUGAAGAAAAGAGAGGAGAAGCAGAUCCGAAAACAGUGAUUGAAAAAUAACUAAAAUCAGCUGGCUUUUUGUGCUUUGAUUUUUCUUUGCAGGUCACCACCGGUGGAAGAGGGGAUGAGGCCGUUGAAGACCCCCUGUGUUGUGUGGAUUUUUGCGGCGGCGCGUGGAUGCACGCGCCGCUACUGUUCAGGCAGCUCCAAAAAUUGUUUUCCUGAAUUUUUGGGACUAUUCUGUAAUUUUCAAUUAUGUGAUGUAAUUUUUGUUUAGUUUUGAAUUUUUUAUUUGUAUGUUGUGAAUUUGAAUGUAACAAAAAAAACAAAAAAAAAAGAAAGAAGAGAAAGGAAAAGAAAAAUAAAUAAUAUAAAGAAAGUUGUGUGUGUGUUUGUUUUUUUAUUUAUGUUAUUGAAUUAUAAAAAUAAAAAAAGGACAAAAAGAAUUAUUUGUUUAAUUUGAAUAUGGUUAAAUAUUUAAGGACAAAUAAAAUUAUGUUAUAUUUUCUAUGAAAGUGUAAGAACAUGUUUUUACACGUAUUCAGGGAUUUAAUAAUUGAUUUAUUAAAGUCUUAGAAUUUGAUUAAUAUUUUAAAUUUUCAAAUCAUAUCAAACCACGAAGCAGCUUAGCUCAGGUAGGGUGCUGUAGGGGUACUAAUACCUUUUCUAGCCACAAUCAGUCCCUUACCCUAGAAUCUCUGACCACGACCAGUAAAUCAUGGUUUUCUAGUAACCCUCUAUUAAAUACUAGGUGGCGACUCUCAAAGAACCAAUCAAGCAAAGACAACGAAAAAUUGCCAAAUCACCGCGUGGGGGACGUGCGACAAUGUUUAUUGAUGAUUUCAGUCGUUUCACUUGGAUAUAUUUUCUUCGAUCUAAGACUGAUUUAUUCUUAACAUUUCAGGCUUUCGUUGUAUUUAUUGAAAAUCAAUUUUCUACUCAUAUUAAAAUACUUUGUUCUGACUCCGGGGGGGAAUAUGUGUCCAAAGAACUUCAGGAAUAUCUCAAAAACAAAGGGAUUCUCUCUCAAAGAUCUUGUCCUUACAUUCCUUAACAAAAUGGAGUUGCUGAGCGUAAGAAUCCUCAUCUUUUAGAUGUUCGCACCUUAUUAAUUGAUUCUUUGGUACCUACUCGAUUUUGGGUAGAAGCACUGUCCACAGUCGUUCAUCUAAUUAAUUGUUUGCCUUCACAAGUACUAAACUUUGCAUCUCCAUACUCUAUUUUAUUUGGUGUUAUUCCUAAGUAUGAUUCUCUCCGUGUUUUUGGGUGUGUUUGUUUUGUUCACUUACCAUCUACUGAACGUAAUAAACUUUUAGCCCAAGCUGCUCGUUGUGCUUUUCUAGGAUACAAUAAUUUUCAUAAAGGAUUUGUGUGUUAUGAUGCAAAUGCUCAUAAAAUUCAUCUCUUGAAAUGUAAUUUUUUUUUUAAAUCAGAAUUUUUUCCCUUCUUAUCCCUCUACAAAAUCCACUCCUAUCCAACUUCCCACAUUUGAUGAUCAUAGUCCAUCUUAUAUCUUUGAAUGUUUUAAGCCAGGAAUUGUAUAUCAAAGACGUCAUCCACCAUCCAUUUUGCCCCUUCCGGACACGAAACCGGCAUCUGAUCAUUCCCCUCAACUAAGACGAUCAACUCGAGUUUCACGUGCCCCAAACAGGUAUGGAUACUAUCAGCAACUACUAUUGAUAGUACUUUUGUGCCUAAGACUUAUGCCCAGGCUUCUACCCAAGACUGUUGGCAACAGGCCAUGAAAGAGGAACUUCAGGCUCUUCAGGAUAAUCACACAUGAGAUAUUGUUUCUUGUCCUACCGGAAUUAAACCUAUUGGCUGCAAAUGGCUAUACGAAAUUAAAGCACGGUUGGUGGCUCUUGGAAAUUGUCAGGCAUAUGGUAUUAAUUAUGAGGAGACAUUUGCACCUGUGGCUAAAAUGACUACCAUACGAACCAUUAUGACAAUUGUUGCUUCCAAAAGAUGGCCACUUCAUCAAAUGGAUGUAAAAAAUGCAUUUUUACAUAGAGACUUGAAAGAGAAUAUUUAUAUGACUCCUCCUUCUGGUAUGUUUACUCACUCAUCCGAUAAAGUCUGCUGGUUGAAACGGUCCCUGUAUGGUCUAAAACAGGCACCCCGGGCAUGGUUUGAAAAAUUUCGCACUACUCUUUAGAAACUUAAAUUUAUUCAGAGCCAAUAUGAUUCCUCUAUGUUUCUUCAGCAAACUACUACUGGUAUUGUUGCUCUUCUGGUAUAUGUUGAUGAUAUUAUCAUUACAGGAUCCGACAUUCCACUCAUUGAGGAUUUACAACAUUCUCUUAACAGUGAAUUUCAUAUGAAGGAUCUGGAACACCUUCACUAUUUCCUUGGUCUACCGGUGCACUCUAUGUCCAGUAGGAUUUCUCUACAUCAGCACAAAUACACCCAAGAGAUUCUUCUUUUGGGCGUUCUUGAAUCAGGGAAUAUCGUUCUUACACCUCUCGAGAUUAAUUUAAAACUUUGUCAUAAUGAUGGUGACCUGUUACCUGAUCCCUCCAUAUACAAGCAGUUGGUGGGCAGUUUGAAUUAUCUAACCAUUACUCGGCCAAAUAUUUCUUUUGUAGUACAACAAGUCAGUCAAUUUUUACAGGCUCCUCGUCAACCUCAUUUAGCUGUUGUCCGAAGAAUUCUUCGCUAUCUUAAAGUCACAUCUGGGCGAGGAUAAUUUUUUCCUGCUGAUAAUUCAUUACAAUUAACAAGUUAUAGUGAUGCAGAUUGGGCAGGGUGCGUGGAUACACGUCGGUCUGUUACUGGGUGGUGUAAGUUUCUUGGAAAUGCUUUGAUUUCAUGGAAAAGCAAAAAGCAAGACCGAAUCUCAAAAUCUUCCAUAGAAUCUGAGUAUCGAGCUAUGUCCUCCGCAUGUUCUGAAAUUGUGUGGCUUCAGGGUUUGCUACGUGAACUUGGUUUUCCUCAGCACACUCCUACACCUCUUCAUGCUGAUAACACAAGUGCUAUUUAGAUUGCUACUAAUCAUGUGUUUCAUGAACGCACCAAACAUAUUGAAGUUGAUUGUCACUACAUUCGUGAAGCUUUUGAUCAUAAUAUUCUUACACUACCUUAUAUUUCCACCGAGCAUCAGACAACUGAUGUCUUUACGAAGGCCUUGUCUCGGCCUCGACAUCAACUCAUGAUAGACAAAUUGAUGCUUCUUGAUCGGCUAGCAUCAAUUUGAGAGGGGAUGUCAUUGUAUAUUAUGGCAAGAAUAUCAAUACUAUAUGGCAACCAAAUUGUAACAGAAUAUCUUGUAUUUAUUAUAGACUACAAAUCAGGGAUUAGAGACAGUAAAUUAGUGAUUAUUACAUGUAUUUAGAGGAUUGAAUUCCUCCUUCUGAAGUCAUUAAUUGAGAGAACAAUUUUACAUUGAAAUUUGAUAUUUGUGACAUGUGACUUGGUGAGAUUCUUCAUUUAUUAUUAUUUCCUUGUGGUGGACACAAUGGUUUACGUAGAUGAACUGAAUUCUUGCAUGACAACAACAAAAUAAGUGUGAUUCAGCACUGUCAAGAAAAAGGUAGAGCAGAGCAACCCUUUUUGACGGAGGCUAAUAAGUUGCAAAAGUUAGUAAGAAGUGGCUCAUUGAGCAACCAAUUAGCCAAGAUGUCUUAUUUCAAACCCUCGUACAGAGGAAUGCCGUAUUUUUAUUUUUCUAAGGAACUGCAUUUUUGUCCCCCUCUUCUCCUUCUUUUUUCCUGUUGAAACAGCAACAGGGUACAUCUACUCCAUGUCAAAGUCUAGUCUAUAACCAGACCAGUAAAGAACAUUGACUUACAAGGAGUUCCAUUGAAGUUUCGAUUAUGAGCAGGCAUGCUUCUAUCCCAAUUUACCACUCUGGGUCAGAUUUCACACUUAUCAGAGCACUGUGAUGACAACAGCAGAAACUAUCUAAUUUCCCACCAAACAUAAAGAGAGCUUUGAAUCUACACACCCGCCAGUUAUAAUCAUUCAAGACAGAUAUGUUAGCUAUAGUUAAGGCCAGAGAGAAACACAAGCUAAAAAAAAAUGCACCUUCUAAUUACCGAGAAGCAUGCAGAAAAAAACCUGUAGACAACUCCAAUAUUGGGUGUCAGAUUCUGUAUUUUCUGAACCUGAAACAACAAGCAAUUAAAUACCAUCAACAACCAACUCAAGUUCUAUACUAUCUUGCAAGUUAUAUACCAUCAAUGAAAUAGUUUUUAUUUAAAGGGAUUAAAAUGACAUCUUUUUACCAAAAUUGUUUUUUCCAAAAAACAUUCAAUAAUAUUUAACCAAGUUUUACCCGAGUCCAUAUAAUUUGAAAGUAAUAAAUCAUAUCAAAUUUCUUUAAAUUAUUAAAUUGGAUCCUUAAUUUUCAAUUCGUCAAAUUAUUAAAUUGGAUCUUCAAUCUCUUUUAUAGGGGGUUUGGUGUCACUGCUUAACUUAAUUAUGAUACUAUAUAUAGUGACCAUUUGUGAUAAUUCUGUUGCAGAUUAAAAAUAUUUAGCGACAUUAAAAGUGUCGUUAAAUAUAUUUUGAAGAGCCAUUACAUGUUGUUUUUUGUUUUUUGUAGUGCAACGAUAGUAAAACAUUAUGUUAAUUUUAGCAACACACCGUGACCAAAUCCAAUGAAGAAACCUAAUAAUCAAAGAAAAUUAGAAAUUUUAAAAUUGAUAUUGGAUUUUUAAAGAUUCAGAUAUUAGGUUAACAUCACAUUUACUAUAACCUUUUAAAUAAAAAAUUAUCAUUGUUUAUGUUUUUCUAAAUUAUUUUAUGCUAUUAUAUUUUUAUUUAUAAUUUAUUUAAGAAUAGACACCGGUUUCUUAGAAUAAAAAACUUGUAAAUUUUUUUGUCAUCCCUAAAAACCAAAGAGUCCAUAGCUUGUCAUUUUAUGACACUAGCCUUGCUAUGUAUAUAUAAUCUCCACGGUUAUAAAAACCAAUAUCUAAAUAGAAGAUUUCAUUAAUUUUUUUACAUUAAUCCCUGAAGACAGUAGAUUUUGUAAUUUCUUGAAUUUUAAUAAAAACUUUGAUGUUAAUCCCUUAAGAUAGAAGAUUUCAUCACUUUUUAAGAUUUAAUGAAAAUUUUGAUGAUAUUCACUAAAAUAGAAGAUUUCAUCAUUUUUUUAAUUUAUAACAAAAUUUUGACGUUAUCUCUAAAAAGUUUUUGUUGUAUAGUAAAAUGGUUUUUAUACAGUAAAAUCCAGUUCCCAUACAGUAGUGUAUAACCUUUUCGGUUUUUAGUAUGGUUUGUUUCUUUGGCUGCUUUUCCAAGAUAAAGUCUUCAUCCGUGAUUUCUUGUUUCAGCAUGAUUUCUUUUCUCUUCAGCAAGCUAGAUGUAUGUUUUGUAAAAGAAGAUUUGAAACUUCAAGCCAUCUCUUCAUUCAUUGUGUUUUUGCCUGGAAGUUAUGAAUGAAAUUCCUAUUUUGGUGGGGGAAUUAGUGAUUCUUUCCCAAAUUCUAUUGAUGAUAUAAUCUACAAAUGAUGCAAGGAAAAUUUCAGAAUCUUUCAUGAUGACAACUUCUCUUUUCUUGUAUUGCAUGGAGUCUAUGGCUACAUUGAAAUGAUGUAAUCUUCAAUGAUGCUAUUCCAGAUCUUAAGGGUUGUUUUUACUUUAUCGAUCCUCCACAGGUUCUCCUUAUGGUUGAAGUUUGAUAGCACAACUUUUGCUUACACCGGUUUGGAUUUAGGGAUCAACUCUGAUGGGAUCUUUUUCGGGGAUAACAGAAGUUGACUUCUUGUUUUUAUCUAUUGUCUGGUCCCUGUUUUCUUCUUCCUGUUAUAGAGUAGAUACCGUGAUUUAGGGAUCAACUAAGGUUCACUGUUGGUUUCUAUGCAAGGCAAGAUUGAGAGUUAUGUGAAUAUAUGAGUUGGAAGGUUAGAGUAAAUGCUGGAUGGUAUUUUUUAUUUUUCCCUCUCAUUGGCGCUGCUCACCAAUAGCUCGGGUGCAUUUGAUGCUGAUGGAGAUGGAACCGAAGCUUAUAUAUUCAGCCACUUCACAUGCUUUUUUUCUUUUAACAGUCGAGUGUAUUAUAAGAAAAUGGCUAAAAAGAUAAUAGCCUAGCAUCCAGAAGUUCUAGCUGACCACAAAAAAAAAAAAAAAAAGCAAACAAGCUUUAGAGGUUUUGAAACAGGGGAAGGAAAACAGUGUGGGAAAAGGAAAAAAACAAUUGAAAUCAGCUCCUCCUUUUUACAAAACCAAUGCCAUCAUAGCUGUUAUGAACAUCCUCGCCAGCAGAGUCUGGAGAAUUGGUAUCAAGUCUCAGCCAUAAUGAGAAACUGCCGAAGAUCAAGGAAAAACAGCUUUGAAGGUUUGGAGCAGCCCUAUUAAAGAUGAUAUCUCCAUAGAAAACCAUUAGUAGUACAUAUCAUCAAUCGAUUUUGUGAAAACAUUGAUAAUACCCCACCGUGAAGGAAUUUCAUUCAUAGAUGCCAAGCAAAGUGGCAGUGGAUGAAGAGGUGACUUGAAGAUUCCAGGUUUUUAUUACAAAAAACACAUCUAGAAGCCACUUCAGAUGCUCAUGAUGAUAUUACAUGUUUCUUCUCUCUGAAUUCAUACAAUCUUUCUUUCAUACACUUCCAUAUUUUUCAGAAAAGAUUGAGGAUGAAGAUACACCAAAUUUAGAUUGCAUCAGAGGUUGCAGUCACUAUCUUUACACGGGGUUGGCUUUUUUUACUUGCUAAAGAUGGCUAACUGUAAUUAGAAUGUUUCUUCUUUUCAAAGUAAUAAAUCUCUGAGUCCUUACAUCUCUAGUUAAUUAUAACUACCUUACCGGUCAUAAUGCUCUUUUCUAUACCUGAUGAAUGAUAUUAUUUCUGAGAUUUUUGAACAUGUAAUGACGGAAGCCUGCGGUGGAUUGGUUCCCUUUGUUACGUUACUGGAGUCGCAAUGUUUCGAGGUAUCUGACCAAAUUAAUUCUCUUGCUUUUUGCAGCAAAUCUGUAUCUCUUGCUACUUGCUAGAGGCGUACUCCCAGGCUACCACUGUUUUGGUGUUGCCUCUCUUACCAUUGUUAUUAGGUUGAAUUAAUUAAAUACCAGAAGAUUUCUGGAUGUGUAAUGACUGUAUGAUUAAACUUACCAGUGCACUGUCAAGGCUGUGGCGCAUGAACUUCAUUCGCGGGCGUGCGUCACCACUGUUCCACCGUGUGCCGUCGCAGCCUUCACCAAUUCCAGUAGCUCCAGUUUUUUUCUCCAUUGCCUCCAUUGAAGGUCCAAUUUUCGAGCUCACAAAACAUGACAUCUUGAGUUUAUUUUUCACGAAUUAUGUUUGUGUUUUGACAAAUCCAACAAUUAUGAUUUGAUUUAGUUGUUUCUAGUUAUGGGACACAAUGUUGUGUUUUUUUAUUAAAAAAAAGAAGAAAAGAAAACAGAGAGAAUGCUAAAAAGAAAGUCACAGCUGCAUGUGAUAGAAUACAUGUAAGUAGGAAAUAAAAUCCAACUCAAGAAUAGAUUACAAAUGAGUUCAAUCCAUUUACAGAAAAAGGGUAUAUAGAAUAUAUUUGUCUGAAGAAUCCCCUGUCUGGAAGUUCUUUGAAUGGGGCUGUGAUGGCAUUUAGAAAGCACAAGCACUAGGGGUCUUGUCUUUCACUAGCAGAAACAUAUUUAUUGUUGAAGAUUUUUUGUGUUAGGUUUAGAUAACUUUAUUUGGAUUUAAUCCACUAAAUUGGUGGGUAUCAUCUCUUAUAGAUGAUACUUUAGCUUCCAAGUCUACCAUUCUCUCAUUUAUUUGGAUGUGUUUUGUAGGGUAGAUAUGGUUGUUUUUCAAAAUGUUUUUUAAUUGAAAAUGCUUUAAAAUAAUUUUUUAAAUAUCAGUUUUUACAUCAACAAUAUAUCAAAAUGAUCUAAAAAUAUUUAUAAAAAAUUAAUUUAAAAUAAAUAAAUAAAAUUUAAAUUUAAAAAAAAAACAAAACACUUACACAAAAACAAAUAGAAUCUUGCUGUGAAUAACAGAAUUUGGUGCUAAAUUUCUUGUUGUGAAUUGCAGAAAACAGUUGCUUGAUCUGCACUAGGAUGGCAAUAGCAAGGUAAUGGAGGAUGUGAGAAAGGUAUAUCCAAGUCGUGCUUCUUUUUUGUAUCUUUCUCCUCAUCCACUAACUCUUGCUUCUUUUUUUCCCGUGAAAAAAUGGAGAGCCGAAAAUAGAUUUGUUAAAAAAUGGAGUUCCUGCAGAUUCCAAUUAAAGAGUUCUGUCUUUCUCCUGUAAUCAUCAAAACAAAUGUUAGGGAUGUGAGAAAUCUUUUGCCAAUCUUCACCCAUCUCCUCCUCCCCGUAACGUUUCUUAAUGGGGCAUCUACUUAUGUCCAGUUCCUGUAGAGGCGCUGCCAAAACAUAGUCUGGUAGUGCUCUCAACAACGGGCAAUUUCAAUAUCAAUCUCGAAGUUGUGGCAUAAUGGAUAUAUUGAAGUUGUGUUGGCAUCUUCUUCUCCCACUCUCCUUCCAAUUCCAUCCCACUCUUCUACUUCUUCGAGAUCCAAAUCAAGUUUUUAAUUUGGGGAAAGCAGUGACCCUUGCAAUUUCUCCUUCAUUAAUACUGGCAUUCUCAUCUUUUUCUAUACCUAAAAAUCCAGCAUCCAACCUUCUCACCUUCAACGACCUCAAACCAGGCUUUCAAGGUUGGGCAAUCUCCCAACGGAGGCAAGACCUCCAGUUCACAAUAACAGAGUUUAAGCUCCUGUAAUCUGGUUAAUGUCAUCAUCCAAUUUGGCAAAUCCAACCCUCCGUACCUAGAUAUGGUUAGAUUUCCAAGUCUGACGGAGGCGUAAAGCUUCAAUUAAAAGCCGUUCUUGCCGGCUCUGUGUCGAAACCAAUAGCAAACAAGCAGGCGCUUCUUAUUCUUGAGUUGUGCUUCUGCAGCGUCACUCGCAUCUUCUACCUCCCCGUAGAUUCCAUAUCUUAAGACUCCCUCCAAUGUGAUUUAAGUUUUUUAAUUCUCUUAGAUUAGCUGCUUUACUUUCAUUCUCACCACCACCACACACAGUAAACACAUCUAAUGUUCGAAGACAUGUUAUCCUCUCUAUUCCCUUUGGUAUGAAGGCCACUCCUGAACCAUAAAUCCGGAGAUGCCUCAAUUUGAUAAGUUUUCCAAUCGCCUUGGCAAUUCCUUGAGAACCACACCAAGUAACGUCUAGGGAUUGCAGAUUGCAUAAAUCACACAUGGUUUCUGGCAGGGACUCCAACUUAACAAAUGCCAAAUUGAGGUGUCUCAAAUGUAUCAAUUUCCCUACCUCGUUUGGUAUUUCUUUGAUUGAAGACCUUGACAAAUUCAAUGACCUGAUGCAUGUCAACUGCUUGAACAAAUCAGGCAGUGCAGCUCCAAGCGAAGGGUCUCUAGUGUCGAUCAAGAGGCUGCGAAGACCUUUUGCUUUGUGAAUGGACACGGGAAAAGAGGUCUCUUGACAGCAUCAUGCUUAAAUGACGAACCCUUUCAAUUGAAGUCUCCAUUGUUGCUCCUGAAGGUUAUUGACAUCCACUGUUAGACAUUCAUUUUUUGUCAUAUAUUGGGCAAAAUCAUGCACUAUAUCAUGCAUCUUGAAUCUAAUAUCUUCUGAUCAUACGUCUUAAAUCUUGGAAGAAAGAGCGCGCUGCUAAGACUUGAAAGUACUGCUCUCCAACAAGCUCCAUAUCUCCACCUGAAGUCUCCUUGAGGUAACCUUGAGCUAUCCACAUCUUCACCAAUUCUAUUUCCCAUCUCGUAGUCUUUUGGAAACAUGGCACAAUACAAGAAACAUCGUCUUACCACAGAAGGUAAAUCGUAGUAACUCAAAAGCAAAGGUAGAAAUAUUCCUCUUUCAACCUGAUCUCUAUCAACCUCAUCUAGCCCCACAAUUCGCUAGAUAAAACACGCUCCCACUCUUCUCUUGUUCUUUUAGACUGCAUUAGACCUCCUAAUACCUUGGCAGCUAGAGGCAAGCCCUUGCACUUGCUUGCAAUUUUUCGCCGAUAUCUGUCAAUCUUUCGCGCUCAUCUUUGCUUCUUUCCUGGAAUGCCACAUGAUUGAAUAUUGACCUGCAUAUCUCAUCGGACAAUUUCUCAAUGUUGAUCCGGUGGUCAGUUCCCAUCAUCGUUGCCACAGAAUGUUUACGAGUGGUCACUAGAAUUCUGCUUCCUGGUGCACGCCUGUGAGAGAUGGUUUCAGUUGUUCCCAUUGUCCAUGAUUUUCUGUCCAUACAUCAUCAAGGACAAGAAGGAACCUCUUUCCCUUAAUGGAUUCAGAAACCCUUUGCAAAAGGGAUUGCAAUUCAACCAAAUCGUGCCUCCCUUCAAGCUGCUCAAGGAUAGCUUUGGCUAUUCUAACCUCAUCAAAUGGAUCUGAACACACACCCAUAUCUUUUUCUCAAAAUGAGCCGUAACCUCAGCAUCAUUAAAAGCUAGUUGGGCGAGAGUUGUUUUUCCAAUUCCGCCCAGCCCUACUAGAGAGAUGACAUCCACGUCCCGUGCUUCCUGACUACUUUCCCAGCAACUUGCUUACUACAGCUUCCCUUUCAUCAUCUCGACCAUCACGAUUGAUUCAUCAACAAGGGAGGUACUUGUUAUUCGUUGGAGUUCAUCAGUGGCUCUGUACAACUCAAAGCCAUACAUAGCUCUCUCUUUGGCAAUCUCAUCCACUUUUUCACAUACUUCUUUGAUCUUGAGGGCAAUGUCGCGACGUCGACCACUUGAUUGAAACAAAAGCAAGGAGAUCCCAGGAAGGAACAUCCAUCUUCUGUAGGCUGUGAGUAUUUUCUUCAGCAUCCCCCAUUUUCCAUCUAAGAAUUGCAGAGCUCCAUUCAUCUAGCACGUCAUCCAUAUCAUAACAUACAUCUUUGAGCUUGUCUACCCAAUCUCUUACUGCCUCAUCCUUCACUUGUUUUCUAUCUGCAUCUUCAAGGACAGAGUGAAUAGCAAGGAGAUUGCUUUUCAGCUUGUCGACUUGUUUCUUCACACCCACUACUAGGUUCACCUCUUCUUGUACCUAUUAGUGUAGAAAAGAUAAGGAAGUUCAAGUAGAGGAAACAUUUCUAUGAUUUCACUGCAAAUUUUUAAUUUUAAUGUUUUGUAAUUAAUAGAUUAGCAGUAGUUGACACGUACUGUGAAAUGGAUUGGCUAUAUUAAUAAUUUAUAUAUAAAAUAUUUAUUAAAAACCUAUAUAUUAAAGAUAAUAAUAUUUCUUUUUAUCAUCAUCAUGAUGAUAUCUGUCUGCAGUCUGCUACUAACAAGAUGGAAGAUAAUGAAUCAUAAAAUUGUUCGACGUCAAACCUAUAAAUAACAUAAGCUUGCUGGAUCAAAGAAAUAUAGAGUAUAAAAGGAUCUGUAUUUGUUGGUAUUUGUAAAGUCUAUAGUUUUAAAGUGAAAAUAUUCUUCCUUUAUAACACUCACUAAUUAUUUUAACAUUUGAUUGAUUAUUUUACAGUUUAAUGAGAGGAUCGACAACUCCCUUUUCCUUCUAAGAAUAUUUGUUUUAGAUUAUUUCCGGAAAUAUGAAAAAUAAUAAUAUAAUAAAGAGAAAUUUCUUUAAUAAAAUACAAAUCUAGAUCUGAGGAUUUGAUAUUUUAUUUUAUUUUUCUUAUAAAGGAAGAAAAAAGACUUCAUUUUUAUAUUUCUUAUUCAUGUUAGGGCUAAUCAGAUCAUUGCAAAUUGUACGAAGUAAUUACCUCUUGAGCAACAAUCCUCGUUAACUGCUCCAAAAUUGGCGAUAAAAGUGCCGCUGCCAUCUGUCUGUUUAAUUUAAUUUAAUUUAAUUAUUUUUGAAAAAGAGACAAUGAUGAUAGGAUGAACUAAGAAAGAGAGAGAAGAGAGUCUGAGUGGAAGGAGGCUGCUGGUUUAUUAGUUAGUUUAUGUACUUAGGGUUUGGUGUGGAGGGUUGAGUUUUGUUUCAGUCCCUGUACUGUUUCUAACACUUCGAUUCAGUCCCUAUAUUAUUGUAGCUUUUCAGUCUAGUCCUGGUUGUAUGUUUCUACUGAGAAUGACAUGCCAUUUUGAGUUCCAAAGGUGAAAUACUCGUGCUUUUCUAACUUUUCCUGGCUAAGGAUUAUUAUUUGUGGAAAGUAAUUUCUUCUUCGAUAUAUAGCAGUUAUUUUGGAUUGAUACUGACCUUAGGUUAAGAAUGCUGAAGUUUCUAUUGAUUAUAGCAAUCUACUGAAAUCCCUGCUUCUCGUCUGCUUCUCUAUUUCUUCUCUUCAUUUUAUGUUAUUCCACUAAUCUUCCAAACUGGAUCAUGGUAAUAUAUAUCUGUCCAUCCAAACUAAUUUACACAAACCAAAAGUAGUAACCAAUUAGUUCUUGUGUAAUGGAAAUACAAACAAGCAUCUAUCUAUCUGGGUUUUUGAGAUCUGGUGAUUUUAUCCUGUUUUCAUAGCAGGGACUGGGGUUUGAUAUUGAUCUUUGAUUUUUGGGUCCGAAAAUGGAUGGUCCAGAUUUGUUGAGGUUGUAUGAUUGGAUUUGUUGAUGGUGCUUGAGAUGAUGCUGUAAAGUAUUUUCUUAUAUAUUUUCUGAUUUUCUGGAGGAAAGGAAAGGACUACAUCACCUUCCUAUCGAUUUUUCUAUCUGCAUCCAUAUACAUUUUGCAAUUAAGUCAUUAUGCUUUAAACUCAUUCCAUGUGCCUUCCCUUACAAGAAAAAAAAGAAAAAGAAAAAACAAGCCCAGGGUACUCAGCUUGGGCUUGGGUUCCCUCAUUAUGACUUGGUGAAUUGGGCAAUCUAAAUACUUUUGGGCUCUGUUUUAAUGGGUUCCAAGGGGAAGAAAACACAACGAUUCUUGAACAAGGAUUUGUGUCCCGUGCGCACUUGAACGAUGGGGGUCUGUUUGCAUUUUGUCAAAAGAGAUGAAAUUCUAAUCAAUGAUGAUGAUGAAAAAAAUAAAUAUAUAAAUUACUAUGUGCAUUCUAUAAUUUAGUUAUAUAAUAUAGUAGAUCUUUACAAAUUAGUAAUUUCAACUUACCAGUAGAAAAAUUAUAGUAGAUCUUUACCAUGAUAUUAUCGAAAUAAAUAAAUAAAUAAAAAUAGAUACACUUCAACACGUCCAUACACUCUUUACCAUGAUAUUAUGUAAAAUGUUAUUCUGAAGUGCCAAGACGGCUUCCUUGAAUUGCAAUAGUAUUUCGAUGUCUUGGUAGUUGAAUUUUUCUCAAUGAGCUCCAGGAAACUCUGUAAUUCUGAUUCUUGCCACCAAGUAACUUCAGGGCAGUCUGGAAAGGAUUUUCAAUGUACUUAUGUUCUUGAUGGAAUCUAAUUAUAAUUCUUAAAAACUUUUCAAUGUACUUCUGGCUUUUAAGCAAGCCUUGUCAGAACAAGAGUCUUGUGAUUAAAUUGUUUCUUCAACUCAAAUAGAUCCCUGAAAAUUAGAAAGGGGAGGCUUAUAAUUAAAUAAUAAAUGACACCAGGGGUAACAACUUAUACCCUGAUAAUCUACUAAUAGACUGACAUGCUGUAUCCAAGAAAUUAUUCCACCCCGUUUUUGGGCUGUGUUCAGAAAAUUAUUACAACCCAUUUUUGGGGUUCAACUUCGGUAUUGUUUAUUAUGUUGUUCGCCUUUUUUAAAUUGUGUUUUUUAAAAUAUAUUUUAUAAUCUUAAUGAAAAAAAAUAUAAAAAUAUAUUUUUAAUUAAAAAAUACUUUUAAAAAAGAUCAUAUCUUGCAUUACUAAACACACAUAUAAUAGAAUACUCGAGGGAUUUUUUUAUAAGCCAAGACUAAAUUUAUUAUUGCUAUUAUUUUAAAGUUCAUUCGUAUUUGUAUUAAACACAUACUAAUUUUCUCUUGAAAUAUGAAAGCAAAAUCCAAAAAAAAAUAAAAUGAAUGCUAAUCAAUAAAAAACAUAUGAAUUUUUUUUAUUUGAGAAUAAAGAAUUUUUUAAAUUUUUUUAUAAAUUAAUUAAAAUUAACCAUUAUUUACAUUAUUUAAGAGCAUUAAAGAAAUUUUUUAAAAAAACUUAACAAAUCUAAAAUUAGAAGUUAUUGUAGUUCUAAAUACUUCCGAGUAUUUAAUUAAUUUUAUUUUUGGAUAUGUUUUUAAAAUAUAUUUUAUUUAAAAAAUAUUAUAUUAAGUUUUUAAAUAUUUUUAAUGAUUUUUAUGUAUUAAUAUUAAAAUGGCAUGUCAUUCUCAGUAGAAACAUACAAUUAAAUUUCAUUAACAGCCAUCUCAAGUUCUAUACUAUCUUGCAAGUUGUAUAACAUCAAUGAAAAAUUUUUUAUUUAAAGGGGUUAAAAUGACAUCUUUUUACCAAAAUUGUUUUUUCUAAAAAAAAUUCAAUAAUAUUUAACCAAGUUUUACCCGAGUCCAUAUAAUUUGAAAGUAAUAAAUCAUAUCAAAUUUCUUUAAAUUAUUAAAUUGGAUCCUUAAUUUUUAAUUUGUCAAAUUAUUAAAUUGGAUCUUCAAUCUCUUUUAUAGGGGGUUUGGUAUCACUGCAUAACUUAAUUAUGACACUAUAUAUAGUGAUCAUUUGUGAUAAUUCUGUUGCAGAUUGAAAAUAUUUAGCGACACUAAAAGUGUCGUUAAAUAUGAGAGCCAUUACAUGUUGUUUUUUGUUUUUUGUAGUGCAACGAUAGUAAAACAUGAUGUUAAUUUUAGCAACACACCGUGACCAAAUGCAACGAAGAGAGUCGAAACCUAAUAAUCAAAGAAAAUUAGAUAUUCUAAAAUUGAUAUUGGAUUUUUAAAGAUUCAGAUAUUAGGUUAACAUCACAUUUACUAUAACCUUUUAAAUAAAAAAUUAUCAUUGUUUAUGUUUUUCUAAAUUAUUUUAUGCUAUUAUAUUUUUAUUUAUAAUUUAUUUAAGAAUAGACACCGGUUUCUUAGAAUAAAAAACUUGUAAAAUUUUUUGUCAUCCCUAAAAACCAAAGAGUCCAUAGCUUGUCAUUUUAUGACACUAGCCUUGCUAUGUAUAUACAUAAUCUCCACGGUUUUAAAAACCAAUCUCUAAAAUAGGAGAUUUCAUUAAUUUUUUUACAUUAAUCCCUGAAGACAUGCAGUAGAUUUUGUAAUUUCUUGAAUUUUAAUAAAAACUUUGAUGUUAAUCCCUUAAGAUAGAAGAUUUCAUCACUUUUUAAGAUUUAAUGAAAAUUUUGAUGAUAUUCACUAAAAUAGAAGAUUUCAUCAAUUGUUUCUUUGGCUGCUUAUCCAAGAUAAAGUCUUCAUCCGUGAUUUCUUGUUUCAGCAUGAUUUCUUUUCUCUUCAGCAAGCUAGAUGUAUGUUUUGUAAAAGAAGAUUUGAAACUUCAAGCCAUCUCUUCAUUCAUUGUGUUUUUGCCUGGAAGUUAUGAAUGAAAUUCCUAUUUUGGUGGGGGAAUUAGUGAUUCUUUCCCAAAUUCUAUUGAUGAUAUAAUCUACAAAUGAUGCAAGGAAAAUUUCAGAAUCUUUCAUGAUGACAACUUCUCUUUUCUUGUAUUGCAUGGAGUCUAUGGCUACAUUGAAAUGAUGUAAUCUUCAAUGAUGCUAUUCCAGAUCUUAAGGGUUGUUUUUACUUUAUCGAUCCUCCACAGGUUCUCCUUAUGGUUGAAGUUUGAUAGCACAACUUUUGCUUACACCGGUUUGGAUUUAGGGAUCAACUCUGAUGGGAUCUUUUUCGGGGAUAACAGAAGUUGACUUCUUGUUUUUAUCUAUUGUCUGGUCCCUGUUUUCUUCUUCCUGUUAUAGAGUAGAUACCGUGAUUUAGGGAUCAACUAAGGUUCACUGUUGGUUUCUAUGCAAGGCAAGAUUGAAAGUUCUGUGAAUAUAUGAGUUGGAAGGUUAGAGUAAAUGCUGGAUGGUAUUUUUGAUUUUUCCCUCUCAAUGGCGCUGCUCACCAAUAGCUCGGGUGUAUUUGUGCUGAUGGAGAUGGAACCGAAGCGUAUAUAUUGGCUUUUUUUACUUGCUAAAGAUGGCUAACUCAGUAACAGAAGAGAUUUUCUAUUUCAGCAUGACUACCUUACCCUUAAGGAAUCAAGAUGUGCUUCAUGCAAUAAAAGCUUGGAAUCUUCAAUUCACUUCUUCAUUUAGUAUCACUUCACUUUGAAUAUAUGGAUGAAAUUGCUUUUUAAUCAGGGCUUUUGUAGUGCUUUUUCAAAAUAUAUUGACAAUAUGUGUUACCAAUGGUCUUCCAUGGUUAAAGACAAGCAACAAAAUCUCUUAUAACAGCUUAUUUUCUCAUGUAUUGUAUGGAAUAUGUGGCUCCACUGAAAUGAUGUCAUUUUUAAUGACGCUGCCCCUAACCUUCAAAUCUAUUUUUUCAUGAUGCGUCAAAGUAUUGCUUCAUGGCUGAGGCUUCAUUCUAGCUUUUUAAAGCUUAAUAUAGAGAAUGUUCAGUAGGGAGGAAAUGAUUUUUUAUGUUUUUUAUUUGUUCCUCCUAAUUGUUACGCUCCCUUGUUUCAUGCAGCAGCUUUUAUGCUUUUUUUUUUCUUUAUUUAUUCAUCUAAUGUAAAUUAUGCUAUUAUCUUAAUACCCAUUUUCUUAAUAAAAAUUUCGAUUAUUACCAAAAAAAAAGAUGGCUAACUGUAAUUAGAAUGAUGGUAAAUGUUUCUUCUUUUCACAGUAACAAAUCUCUGAGACCUUACAUCUCUAGUUAAUUAUAACUACCUUACCGGUCAAAAUGUUCUUUUUCUGUACCUGAUGAGUGAUAUUAUUUCUGAGAUUUUUGAACAUGUAAUGACGGAAGCCUGCGUUGGACUGGUUCUCUUUGUUACGUUACUGGAGUCGCAAUGUUUCGAGUUAUCGGACCAAAUUAAUUCUCUUUCUUUUUGCAGCAAAGCUGUAUCUCUUGCUACUUGCUAGAGGCGUAAUCCCAGGCUACCACUGUUUUGGUGUUGCCUCUCUCACCAUUGUUAUUAGGUUGAAUUAAAUACCAGAAGAUUUCUGGAUGUGUAAUGACUGUAUGAUUAAACUUACCAAUGCACUGUCAAGGCUGUGGCGCGUCAACUGCAUGUGCCGGCGGGCGUCACCAUUGUUCCACCAUGUGCCGUUGUAGCCACUAAGUGGCCAAGAUUUUUUAAAUGAGAAGGUAAAUUACUAAUAAAUAUUUGAUAUUAUGUAUUAUGUAUACAUGCAUUAUAUAGAAAAAUCAAUUUGAAAUAUAUGUACUAACUCAUAUUAAAUGAAAUUAAUUUAAGAGUACUUUUAAAAUGAUAAAAAAAUUACAUUAUAAUUGUUCUUUUCGGGUUUUUAUAUUUUGAAACUGUUUCAUAAUAACUUCAUUAUCAAUCUCAUUAAAGAUAUUUUUCUAAAUUUAUAUAAUUAAAUUGUCAUUUAUCCACUUAUCUCCUAUCUUAUAUUGCAAUCUACUCUUGAAAACAUUCAUGACAGAUAAAACUAUUUUCACUAUAGCAGUUACAACUAGUAAAAAUAAUGACAAUUUGAUAAGUAUAUAUACCAAUAAAAAUAUUAAAUUCUUCUUUGUUUUUACCAUUUAAUUUCUCCUCAAGACUAGCGGCAAUAAAAAGUUCUCUCUGACUAGAAAGUUUCAAAUGGUAGAAGGUAAACUCUUUAAUAUUACAGAGGAGCUAAUGAAUCAAAGAAUCGAACAUAGAAAGUUUUGAUGGUAUAAACACAAACCACGGAAGCAGCAAUAAAAAGUGCUCUCUGGCUCUAUGGUUUCCUUCUUUAUAUGCGUUGAUUAGUUUUUUUUUUUGCCAUAGAAUAAAAUCAUCAGAUGUCCCUUUACUUCUUUAUCUGUUAAACAUGAAUAAAAGAAAAAUUUGAGACAACCAGCUUAUAAUUCAAACACCAAAAGUGUUUUUUAAUAGAUUCAAAGAUUAAAAAAAAUUACUUUGAACUUUGCAAGGAGAGAAUGUAGAUAGUCACAGUAGAACACAUUAAUAUAUUGUCUCUUGAUUUUUUAUCUUUUACAAAAUAUAACUUAAGUUAUUAUAUUAAUAUUUUAACGUAAAAAUUAAUUUUUUUUUUAAAAGAAGGGGGCAGCUGGCCCCUUAUGCCCCAGUGGCUCCGCCCCUGGCAGCCACCACCAAUUCCAGCAGCUCCAGCUUUUUUCUCCAUUUCCUCAUGUCCAAAUUUCAAGCUCAGCAUGACAUUUUGAGUUUAUUUUUCAUGAAUUAUGUUUGUAUUUUGACAAAUCCAACAAUUAUGAUUUGAUUUAGUUGUUUCUGGUUAUGGGACACAAUGUGGUUUUUUUUAUUAAAAACAAAAAACAGAGAGAAUGCAAGAAAGAAAGUCACAGCUACAUUUGAUAGAAUAAAUGUAAGUAGGAAAUAAAAUCCAACUCAAGAAUAGUUACAAAUGAGUUCAAUCCAUUUACAGAAAAAGGGUAUAUAAAAUAUAUUGGUCUGAAGAAUCCUCUGUCUGGAAGUUCUUUGAAUGGGGCUGUGAUGGCAUUUAGAAAGCAGAGGAACUAGGGGGCUUGUAGCAGAAAUCAUAUUUAUUGUUGAAGAUUUUUUUGUGUUCGGUUUAGAUAACUUUAUUUGGAUUUAAUCCACAAUGGGUAUCAUCUCUUAUAGAUGAAUGGUUAAGCUUCCAAGUCUACCAUUCUCUCAUGUAUUUGGAUUUAAUCCACUGAAACUGAGGUUUAAGAAUUUCUUGUUGUGAAUUGCAGAAAACAGUUGAUUGAUCUUCACUAGGAUGGCAAUUGGAAAUGAAUGGAGGAAGCAUCAAGAUCAGUGGCUUGUUUGAAGGCAGAUAGACCCUUUGAUCGUGAGAUGAUGCCUUUAGAUGAGAAAGGAUGUGAGAAAGGUAUAUCACAGCUGCAUUUGAUAGAAUAAAUGGUAAGUAGUUUGUUUUUUAAUUAAGUAUUUCAAUAUGGCAAAGAUAGGGUGUAAUUUACCAUACUUUAGUCUUAUUCCAUUCAAUAUAAUUAUGGAUACUAUAGAGCAUAUACGUACUUUGAUCUUAAUUAGUCCUUGGCUUAAAACGAAUUUGGUGCAGAUACAGAUUCUAAAGACGUCCAACUCCAACAAGCCCUAAAAGGACAUCAUUGGAUAAAUACCAAGGAGCUUGUGCAUGAGCAUUGUUUUGUUCACUCUGUGGCAGAGGCCUCUCCACAACUUCUCAGCAGGAAAGCUAUUAUUUAAGUUGCAACGCAGUGCGGUUCUAUAAACUAACUAGUUUAUAGCAAUUGCAAAUGAAUGGACCCUUUGAUCGUUAGAUUAUGCCUUUAGAUGAGGCUCGACAUUAUAGAGGCAUAAAAGAGAGAGAGAUACAUCACAGCUGCUUUUGAUAGAGUAAACAGGUCACAUAUUAUUUACACUCAACCUUAGCAAACACCAAAGCAAAUAAUUAAUACACUCAAAGCGAAAAAAUAAUGUGAGAAAUCUUUUACCAAACUGCACCCAUCUUCUCAUCCCCGUAACGAUUCGUUAGAAUGGGGCUCCUUCUUAUGAUUAAUUCCUGUAGAGGCGCUGCCAAAACAUAGUCUGGUAGUGCUCUCAACAACGGGCAAGUAUCAAUAAUCAACUCUUGAAGUUGUGUUGGCAUCUUCUUCUCCCACUCUCCUUUCAAUUCCAUCCCACUCUUCUACUUCUGUGAGAUCCAUAAUCCAAAGUUUUUUCAAUUUGGGGAAAGCAGUGACCCUUGCAAUUUCUCCUUCACUAAUACUGGCAUUCUCAUCUUUUUCUAUACCUAAAAAUCCAGCAUCCAGCCUUCUCACCUUCAUCGACCUCAAUACCAGGCUUUCAUGGUUGGGCAAUCUUCCCAACGGAGGCAAGACCUCCACGUUUGUACAAAGACCGAGUGUAAGCACCUGUAAUCUGGUUAAUGUCAUCAUCCAAUUUGGCAAAUCCAACCCUCCGUACCUAGUUAUGGUUAGAUUUUCCAAGGAUGACGGAGGCUGUAAAACUUCAAUUAAAAUGUUGUUCUCCCGGUUGAAGUUGAAAUCCAAUUGCAAACAAAGUAGGCGAUUCUUAUUCUUGAGUUGUACUUCUUUCAUUGUCUUUUUCUACUCUUUCAUAAUUUAAGGCACUUCUUUCUUCUUUUAGCUAGAAACAUAAUGCAGAUGCAGAGAGUGAAGAGUCGACAUGCAGAUGCAGGAACAUAGGAAGAGAGUUGUUUGGUUACUAAAAUAAGGGCUAGGGUUAUGAAAUCUGGAAAUUGAAAUUCGGAUCGAAAUUAGUGAGGAAAUCAGCAUGCUAGAUUCAGCAGCGUUUGGGGUCAGAAUGGCAUUGUUGGGAAUAAGACAACAAAUUAUGCGUAGCUUAGCAGCCAUUGUUGCUGCUUCAGGAACACCAAACUCCCUUGUCAAAAAACUGCAUUCAUAUGCAUUUUGCAAUUAAGGCAUUAUGCUUUAAACUCAUUCUAUUUGCCUUCCCUCACACAAAAAAGAAAAAAAAAAGGUUAUUUGCUGUCGUCACUGGAUUAGUUUCAAACCCAAAAGUCUCGUUGCGUUCUGUUUCAAUUCAGUCAGUCUUUAUUAGUCAAUGCUUCGCUGCACUGAAAAAACACCAUAUGCACCUCAUUGCAGAGUGAGGUCAUAUGUCCUACAAAAAUGGAUUUUGAACAUAAUAAUUAGAAGGAAAAAAAAAUUAAAAGUGAGCAUAAUUGAUCAUCGUGGAUAUAAUAAUAAUAUUUAAUAAAAUGAAUUAGCUUGUUAACUCCUAGAAGUUUUUAUAAAAACUAAUCUUGAAGUACAAGUAAUCCCUUCGCUCAUCAACUUCGCUGUGAAAAAGCCCAGAGUACUCAGCUUGGGCUUGUGUUCCCUCAUUAUGACUUGGUGAAUUGGGCAAUCUAAAUACUUUUGGGCUCUGUGUUUUAAUGGGUUCCAAGGGGAAGAAAACACAACGAUUCUUGAACAAGGAUUUGUGUCCCGUGCGCACUUGAACGAUGGGGGUCUGUUUGCAUUUUGUCAAAAGAGAUGAAAUUCUAAUCAAUGAUGAUGAUGAAAAAAAUAAAUAUAUAAAUUACUAUGUGCAUUCUAUAAUUUAGUUAUAUAAUAUAGUAGAUCUUUACAAAUUAGUAAUUUCAACUUACCAGUAGAAAAAUUAUAGUAGAUCUUUACCAUGAUAUUAUCGAAAUAAAUAAAUAAAUAAAAAUAGAUACACUUCAACACGUCCAUACACUCCUUUUUUAAAAAAUAAUUAUAAUAAAAUUAAUUAGUUAUUAAUUAUAAAAAUCAGACCUAUGAGUUAUGUCUAAGCUGUUGAAAAUAGUAAAGAUAAAGUAAUUAGAAGUGACAAUGAAAUUAUUAGUUGAUCAUCGAGUUGUUUUACUAGAAUCCAAAUCACUUAGCUCAAAUUACUAAUAACAAUUAUAAAUUUACACCAAAUUUGAACAAAUUUCUACCAGCCGAUGUGACUAAACUCAAAUCACUCCUAGGAAUCUUAAUAUAAACCCAUUUACUACUAGACCAGCACCUCUUUGGCUAAAAUCCACGUUGCUUUCCCACACCAAUCAUCAGCUUCUUCAAUUACAGUGCUACAAGUCCAUGUCUCUAUACCUAUUGUAACAUAUUCUACAAACAUACUGUUUUACUGUAGACUGCAAUGUUUUAAGUGUUUUUUUUUUAUUAAGUUGUUUUAUUUUUUUUAACGGUUUUUUUUAUGUCUUUCAGAAUAUUUUUUUUGCUUCGUUCUUUGUUUUUUUUUCUUUUAACAAAAGUUUUUUGUUUAAUUUAGUUUAUUAAUGUUUAAUUUUUUUAUUUAUUUAUCAGACUUUCAUGAUACAUUUUCCAGAUUUAACGGGUUAACCUGGUUUGACAAGUUAACCCAUAAUUUUUUUUUUUGCUUUUUUUAAAUUAAUUUUUUUGCUUUAGUUUAUUUUAUUAAUGUUAAAUUUCUUUCUAUUUAGUUAUCAGACUUUCAUGACAUAUAUCUAGAGUUUCACGGGUUAACACGGUUUGACGGGUUAACAUGGAUUUUUUAUUAUUUUUUUCUUUUUAAUUAAUUUUUUUCGUUUAGUUCAGUUUGUUAAUGUUCACUUUUUUUUUUAUUUCGUUACCAUACAUUCAUGACACAGAUCCCGGGUUUAACGGGUUAACCUGGUUUGACAAGUUAACCUGAAAUUUUUUUUUUUUGCUUUUUUUUUUUUAAAUUUAGUUUAGUUUGUUAAUGUUAAAUUUCUUUCUAUUUAGUUUUUUUUUCUUCAUAGAGGUUUUUUUCUUUUAUUUUUUCUUUUUAAUUAAUUUAGUUUAUUAAUAUUAAAUAUUUUUCUAAUUAGUUCUCGGCUAAUGCCUUUAGUUUUUCUUUUUGUUUCUUUUUGUUGUUUUUUUGCCUUUGACUGUGGACUGCACAAUGCAGUCCACAAUAAAAAGGUUGAUGCCUUUUGUUUUUUUUUUCUUUUUAAUUAAUUUUUUUUGUUUAAUUUAAAUUAUUAAUGUUAAAUUUUUUUUCUAUUUAGUUAUCAAACUUUCAUGAUACGAAUUCUGAGUUUGACAUGUUAACCUGAUUUGACGAGUUAGCCCAGUCAACUCAAUGAAUCACACAGAUAAAUUACACGGAAUCAGUAAAAUCAAAAUAAAACGUGUUAAUCUACUUUCUUAUGUUAUGAAAGGAGAUGAAUCCAACAAAAACAUAAUAAGCCACAGUUAAUUUUUUUAUCUUUGAGAUAAAAAAAUAUUUUUGAAAAAAUUAAAUUUUUUAUUAAUUUAUAAUUUAUUUAUAUUUUAAAAUAAUUUUAAUGUAUUAAUAUUAAAAAUUAAUUUUUAAAAACAAAAUUUUAAUUAUUUUUAAAUAAAAAUAUUUUAAAAAAUAAUUAUUAUUUUAAUACCAAAAACGCUUUUGCCUGCUUGGGAGUUAUGGUUGCGGUUGCUUUUCAAAAUGUUUUUUAUUUAAAAAUGUAUUAAAAUGAUGUUUUUUUUAUUUUUUUAAAAUUAAUUUUUAUAUCAGUGCAUCAAAAUAAUCUGAAAAAACUAAAAAAAUAUUAAUUUAAAUAAAAGAAAAAAAUUAAAAUUAAAUAAAUAUUUUUCAAAACGUUUUUAAAACAUAAAAACAAAUAGAAAUAAAUGCUAAAAUAGGAAAACAAACCAACUCUUUAUUAAAUGACAUUAUUUUUGAGAUUUUAUAUAUAUAUAUAUAUAUAUAUAAAAACUUUGGUGGACACACCAAUCAAUCCAUUCGAUUGGCCACCCAAUCUUGGGCAAGAUCGACCGUGGGUUGUAUCUUAUUACUAUGGUGAUAAGUAAUCACUCGAAAGUUCAAAACUAGCUUGACCCAUAAGAAUAUAUAUCGGAAUAAGUUAAGACUAUGAUGCCAACUUUAUUUUUUUAAAAAAAUAAAAGGCAUAAAUCAUUAAUAAAAAUCUAAAAGGUAUGAAAUUUUUAUUAUGUGUGUACCAUUGUUCACCCUUCCAUAUUUUAUUAUAGAUAAUCUAUUGUUUAAAAUUUUGUCUUUUUAAUCUGGGCCUUGAUUUUUUUUACACGAUUGCAUUCUUUUUUAACCAAAUUAAAAAGCAACUUUAUCAAAUUCGCCGACUACUGAUAAAAUUAAAAAAGAGAGGACUAAAAUAGAAAAGGUGCAAUAAAUGGAUGAUGAUUUCAAAGUUCACACAAAAAAUCAAUUUAGUCCUCACACUUUAAAAAUUAUACAUAUUCGAUUUUUCAAUAUUUUUUUAAAUUCAAUUUUAGUAUAAAAUUUCACUUUUGUUAUAUUAUAGUUCAUGGUUUGAGAGAUAAGAGAGCAAGGUCACCGGAUUCCAAAUCUAGACAAAAAAUAUUGUUGGCGUCGAUUUUGACCAUAAAAAUGAUCGAUUUAUAUGUCAAAUGAUUUCAUUUGAUGAUGGGAUUUCAGCUUAAGUGUUUUUUACUUUAAAAAUAUAUAUGGGCUCAAGAGAUUGUUCAUUUUUGGUUGAUUUUGAGUUUUGAGAUAGUUUUUUUUAUGUCAUAGACAUGUUUAUCAAAGUUCAUAUGUUUUUUUCUAGGUAUUUUGGGUAAAAAAAAAUUAAAAAUGAGUUUUUGAAUGAAAAAACCUCAAAUCUUGAUUUUUCUGCCACCACAAUAAUCAAAAUAUGAGGAAAAUCAUACGAUGCAUCAUCUAAUUUAAUUUUCUUUCAAAAAGAAAGGAGGGGGGGGGGGACUUUGCAAUGAAAGAGAAUUAUGGGUCUAAGCAUGUGGGCCUACCUUGACAGACUUGUACACGGGCCCUAACAAGAUUAGUCGAAUGGGGUGGCUCGGCUUGUCAAGCCUAGUAACACUUGAGCUUUUUUUUUUUUUUUUUAAAUUAAUACUUUUUUAUAUUCUUUUUUUCAAGUUUAAUAUUUUAUUUAUAAUUAAAUUAAUAUAUUUUCUCUCUUUUAUUUUGUUGAUAUAGCCUCUUUAAAAUUACAAUUAUUUUUUAAUUAUUUUGUAUGCAUUUAUUUUUAAAAUAUAUUAUUAUAAUUCAUCUAUAAAUGUUUUUUGUGUUUUAUAUGAAUAAAAAAUAUUUAUUUAUUUAUUUAUAAUAUUUCUAACAUGUGUAAUCUUACAUGAUAUUGUUUUUAAUUCAAUCAAUUUUACAUGUAUUUAUUUUUAUUAUUGUUUAAUUGAAUGAAAAUUUGAUUUUGAUAAACAAUGAUAUUUAAUACAAUCAGAUGAAAUGCUUGUAUUGUAAUGUUAAAGAUCUUGAUUUAUAUAUGUUUAUCGAUAUUUCAAUUUUAUCUUUAUUUAUUGUUAAUAAUAUUUUAUUUUUUAUUUUUUUAAUACACAUUAUUCUCAAUAUAUUUGAUUAUAUUUAUGCAUCAGUUUUUUUUUAUGCUUAUAAUUUUUUUUAUGUACAAAUACAUGUUGGAAAAAUCUUCAUAUAUCAUUUUUUUAUAUAUAAAAAAUAUGUUUGAUGCACUAACACGUGAGAGCUUUCACUUUUAAUUUGCAUAAUAAAAGAUUUGUUUUUGUCCUUUUUUUUUUUAUUGAUCCUUUUAAUAUUGCACUGAUCUUAUAUUGAUUUUUACGAUUUGAUUUUAUGCCAAUGAUGGGACCUUUUAGUGCUGGGGAAAUAUUACGUGCUUGGUUGAUUCUCAAUUUUUAAUAAAAUCAAAAUCAAUUGCAUUCGUAUAAAAGAACUAGAAAUUCAGGUAUUGGAAUUGAAAGACUAAAUAAAUGUGCUAUUCCUUUUGUUUGCUAACAUUGAGAAUUGAUUUGCAUAUUCAAUGAAAAAAAAAUCAAAUUCAAUUUUAGCAGUGGAUUGAUUGCCAUGAUCUAGCUAGCAGAAUUUGCUAGUGUUUUUUUAAUUAAUUUUUUAAUUUAAUCAUUUUAUAUUUAAAUUGUUGAAAUUUGACAUAAUAAUUUUUUUGUAAUUGCUUUGUGGGGUUAUUUUAACAUUAUAACUUGAGUUAUGGUUUUAACAUACUAAUUAAAGUUGAUUCGAAUUAAUUUUUAUAUAUUGAAUUAUAUAAGAAUUGAAUUUGUAAUUAUUCUUUUGCGAGAACUUUUUUAAGCAGGUCACGCUAACCUUUUUUUUAUCUUAGCCUGCAACGGCAUAACACGAACAAUCUAUCUAGUGUUAUUACUGAAAGAUCACAUGGCCAACCCAAAAAGUUCACGAAGAACACACAAUCAAAAACGCAAAAAAACAAAAGGGUUUCUUGAAUUUCAACCAAAGAAUAUAACAAAACCGAUAAAACAAAAUAAUAAAUGUUUACUUACAGAAGAUUCAUCGACUAAAAUAGAUGGCAAUUUCUUCUCAGUUGCAAUAACAACAACGUUUGCCGCUACAACACCAAAAAAAUAAUAAAAUCAACAACAUAGUACAUUCGAAAAUGACAAGAAAAUGAGAUGGUAGAAGAAACCAAAGCGAAGAGGUCACAUAGAGUAAAUGGUAAGAAUUAACACCAAAGCAAAUAAUUAAUACACUCAGAACCAAAUCUUUUACCGUUAAGAAUUAAUACUGGUAGAAGAAUUUACCUCUAUAUCAUCAAAAUUAAUAUUUGGGAUGUGAGAAAUCUUUUGCCAAUCUUCACCCAUCUCCUCCUUCCCGUAACGUUUCCUUAGAAUGGAGCAACCAUUUAUGUAUAAUUCCUGUAGAGGCGCUGCCAAAACAUAGUCUGGUAGUGCUCUCAACAACGGGCAAUCAACAAUCAUCAACUCUCGAAGUUGUGGCAUAAUGGAUAUUAUUGAAGUUGUGUUGGCAUCCCACUCUUCUACUUCUUGGAGAUGCCAAAAACCAAGAUGUUUUAAUUUGGGGAAAGCAGUGACCCUUGCAAUUUCUCCUUCAUUAAUACUGCCAUUCUCAUCUUUUUCUAUACCUAAAAAUCCAGCAUCCAGCCUUCUCACCUUCAACGAGCUCAAUACCAGGCUUUCAAGGUUGGGCAAUCUUCCCAGCGGAGGCAAAACCUCCAGGUUUUCACAAUCAAAGAGUUCAAGCCCCUGUAAUCUGGUUAAUGUCAUCAUCCAAUUUGGCAAUUCCAACCCUCCGUAACUAGAUAUGGUUAGAUAUUCCAAGUAUGACGGAGGCUGUAAAGCUUCAAUUAAAGAGCCUUCAUUCGCUUGCAACUCUGUUUUCUCUCUGUCGAAAUACAAUCGCAAACGAAGCAGGCGCUUCUUAUUCUUGAGUUGUGCUUCUGCAGCGUCACUCGCAUCUUCUUUACCUCCUCCUAGAUUCCGUAUAGUAAGACUCCCUCCAAUGUGAUUUAAGUCUUUUAAUUCUCUUAGAUUAGCUGCUUUACUUUCAUUCUCACCACCACCACACACAAUAAACAAAUCUAAUGUUUGAAGACAUGUUAUCCUCUCUAUUCCCUUUGGUAUGAAGACCACUCCUGAACCAAAAAUCCGGAGAUGCCUCAAUUUGAUAAGUUUUCCAAUCGUCUUGGGCAAUUCCUUGAGAGACCGACAGAAAGUAACAUCUAGGGAUUGCAGAUUGCAUAAAUCACAACUGGUUUCUGGCAGGGACUCCAACUCUCCACAUUGUGCCAAAUUGAGGUGUCUCAAAUGUAUCAAUUUCCCUACCUCGUUUGGUAUUUCUUUGAUUGAAGACCCUGACAAAUUCAAUGACCUGAUGCAUGUCAACUGCUUGAACAAAUCAGGCAGUGCAGCUCCAAGCGAAGGGUCUCUAGUGUCGAUCAAGAGGCUGCGAAGACCUUUUGCUUUGUGAAUGGACUUGGGAAAAGAGGUCUCCUCUGACAGCAUCAUGCUUAAAUGACGAACCCUUUCAAUUGAAGUCUCCAUUGUUGCUUCUCCAAGUGUAUUGACAUCCACUGUUAGACAUUCAUUUUUUGUCAUAUAUUGGGCAAAAUCAUGCACUAUAUCAUGCAUCUUGAAUCUAAUAUCUUCUCGAUCAUACGUCUCAAAAUCUUGGAAGAAAGAGCGCGCUGCCAAGACUUGAAAGUACUGCUCUCCUACAAGCUCCAUAUCUCCACCUGAAGUCUCCUUGAGGUAACCUUGAGCCAUCCACAUCUUCACCAAUUCAUAUUUUCCCAUCUCGUAGUCUUUUGGAAACAUGGCACAAUACAAGAAACAUCGUCUUACCACAGAAGGUAAAUCGUAGUAACUCAAAAGCAAAGGUAUAAAUAUUCGUCUUUCAACCUGAUCUCUAUCAACCUCAUCUAGCCUCCACAGUUCGCUAGAUAAAACACGAUCCCACUCUUCUCUUGUUCUUUUAGACUGCAUUAGACCUCCUAAUACCUUGGCAGCUAGAGGCAAGCCCUUGCACUUGUUUGCAAUUUUAUCGCCGAUAUCUGUCAAUCUUUCGCGCUCAUCUUCGCUUCUUUCCUGGAAUGCCACAUGAUUGAAUAUUGACCUGCAUAUCUCAUCGGACAAUUUCUCAAUGUUGAUCCGGUGGUCAGUUCCCAUCAUCGUUGCCACAGCGUCCUUACGAGUGGUCACUAGAAUUCUGCUUCCUCGUGCACAGCCUGUGAGAGAUGGUUUCAGUUGUUCCCAUUGUCCAUGAUUUUCUGUCCAGACAUCAUCAAGGACAAGAAGGAACCUCUUUCCCUUAAUGGAUUCAGAAACCCUUCGCAAAAGGGAUUGCAAUCCUACCAAAUCAGAUGCCCUCCCUUCAAGCUCCUCCAGGAUAGCUUUGGCUAUUCUAACCUCAUCAAAUGGUUCUGAAACACACACCCAUAUCUUUUUCUCAAAAUGAGCCGUAACCUCUGAAUCAUUAUAAGCUAGUUGGGCGAGAGUUGUUUUUCCAAUUCCUCCCAGCCCUACUAGAGAGAUGACAUCCACGUCCCGUGCUUCUUGACUACUUUCAGCCAGCAACUUGCUUACAACAUUUCUCUUUUCACCAUCUCGACCAAUCACGCUUGAUUCAUCAACAAAGGAGGUAGUUGUUAGUCGCUGGAGUUCAUCAGUGGCUUUGUACAGAUCAAAGCCAUACUUAGCUCUCUGUUUGGCAAUGUCAUCCACCUUUUCACAAACUUCUUUGAUCUUCAGGGCAAUGUCGCGACGUCGAACCACUUGAUUGAAACAAAAGCAAGGAGAUCCCAGGAAGGAACAUCGUAUCUUCUGUCGGCUGUGAGUAUUUUCUUCAGCUUCCUCCAUUUUCCAUCUAAGAAUUGCAGUGCUCCAUUCAUCUAGCACGUCAUCCAUAUCAUAACAUGCAUCUUUGAGCUUGUCUACCCAAUCUCUUACAGCCUUAUCCUUCACUUGUUUUCUAUCUGCAUCUUCAAGGACAGAUUGGAUAUCAAGGAGAUUGCUUUUCAGCUUGUCACAUUGUUUCUUCACACCCACUACUAGGUUCACCUUUUCUUGUACCUAUUAGUGUACAAAGGAAAAGAAACGUUAAGCAUAGGAAACAUUUCUAUGACAAUUUCACACCCCCUACUAGGUUCACCUCUUCCUGUACCUAGCUAUUAGUGUAGAAAAGACAAGUUCAAGCAUAGGAAACAUUUCUAUUUUGUAUUAAUAUAUUUUAUUGUGAAAUGGAUUUACUAUAUUAAUAAUUUAUAUAUAAAAUAUUUAUUAUAAAUGAUAAUAUUUCUUUUUUCUUUUUAUCAUCAUGAUGAUGAUAUCAGUCUGCACUAUGCUACUGUACAAGAAGGUAUAAAAUGAAUCUUAAAUGGUAAAAUGUAAACCUGUACGUAUGUAUAUAUAUAUAUAUAUAAAGAGUUCAAUGUUCUCACGUGAGAAGGAUUUCUCCUUUGAACCGACAUAAAAUCUGGUUUUCAUUUUACAUUAAACUAUAGAUAUAUGGAUGUAUAAAGGCAAGUGAAUAAAAGGAUCUGCAUUUAUAUAUUUGUGAAGUCAAUUUAGAAAUAAAGGCAUGAUAAUAAGAUUGUGUGAUAACUAUAUAGUUUUAAUUCACACCAAAUACUCACUCGCUAAUCCUUCGAACUUUUUAUUGAUUAUUUUACCUUUAAUAGUUCAGUUUAAAGAGAAUUGGCAACUCUUGUUCAUCUUUUUUGGUUUUCUUAUAUUUGGAAUGAUAUAUUUUCUUUAGGUUAUUUUUAGAAAUAUGAAAACUAAUAAAACUAGAAAAAUAAGUCUUUAAUAAAAUCGAAAUAUAUACUUGAGGAUUUAAAAUAUUAUUUUUAUUUUUUCAAGUUAAAAGUAUUCUUUUUAUGAGAGGAAGAAAAAAGGCUUGAACGUUAUAUAUAUUUCUUAUCUGUGCUUAGGUAAAUCAGGUUAUUGCAGAUGGCAGAAAAAUACCUGUUGAGCAACGAUCGUGGUUAACUGCUCCAAGAUCGGAGAUAGAAGUGCCUCAGCCAUCGUCUGUUUAGUUCUGAUUGGAGAGAGAGAGAGAGAGAGAGAGAGAGAAGCAGUGAUGAUAGGAAGACAGAGAGAAAGAGAGGGUGAAGGGAAGGAGGCGGCUGAUUGUGAAUGGAUUAAUAUACUUGGGGUUUCUCGUUGCAGGUGGAGUUCUUGCAACUUGUAGUUUUUUUUACUAGUGAAGCUUUGUAUUUAGUGUCUCCACAGAAAAAUAUUUUUUAUUUAGUGGCUGAAAGAUUCACAAUUUAUAUUAUAAUUGAUGAUUUUUAUUCUAUGAAAGAACAACAAAUAUAAUUAAAAUAAUAUAUAAAAAUUAUUUUUUAUUAUUUUUUAUUUUAUUUCAAAGUUUAUUAAACAUAAAAUAAUGUUUCGCUUUAAUUAAUGUUUCUUAUAUACUUUGUAUGUUUAUAUUUGAUAGGUAUAGAGAUCAACAACAUUAAAAUGAUGAAUACAUCAUGAAGUUAAAAUUAGCUUCAUUGUUUUGACUUAAUUUGAUAUUGCUCCAAACCUUUUAUAUUAUAUAUUUAUAAUAAGUUAUUUGAAUAAAACUAAAUCAUACUGGUUUUUUUUACAACUCAUAUAUAAUAAAUUAAAAUAAAUAUUAUAUUUUGUUUUAUUAUUUUUGGCCAUUCCAAAAAUAUCAAGGGAAAGUCUUCAAAUGCACAGAGUAAAUCGGAACCCACAGUGAAGUAGCUCUUCAGUAUCUUCUAAGCUCAAGCUGUCAAACACAGACCAAAAGCAAACGUGUCAUAACCAAAACAACCCAAUGAAUGGUAGAUGUUAAAAUGAGCAUUCCAUUUUCUGAAUGACAAAAAUCCCAGUGCCUAGCAAUGACUUACAUAAUUAAUUAAAAUGGAUUUGUUAAAAUAUAGUAAAAUAUUAGACCGUUUAAGAAUUAACACUGUUGGGUUUCGAUAACUUUAUUUGGAUUUAAUCCAUUAAAUCAAUGGGUAUCAUCUUUUAUAGAUGAAUGGUUUAGCUUCCAAGUCUACCAUUCUCUCAUUUAUUUGGACUUAAUCCACUGAAACUGAGGUUUUAUUUGUAAGUAUACACAUCAGGCUCAAGCUUAUCUUCUUGCAUCUGCUCAAAUAUUUCUUCUGCCUUCUCACAGAGUCCCUCUCUAGCAAACGCGUUCACCAGAGCUGUGUAUGUGCAGAUAUCUGGUCUGCAUUUUUGACUUCUCAUUUCGUUAAACAACUUCAAGGCCAUGUAAGAUUGACUUGCCUGAGUACAGGAAAAAGAUUAGCAAAAUGAGUUUUUAAGGAUCCUAAACACCACUGUUGUCCAGUUAUCAGAAUUUAUAACCAUAUCCUUGAAUUUAUUCUGAUAAUUGUUUGAAAUUGAAUGCAUAUAUUUCAAGUUGUUCGUUGUAUCACUGUAGACUCGUAGACGUACGAGUUACGCGUAAUUUUCUACUGGGACCAGUGGCAUUUCAAGAAGAUCAGAUUUGCAGAAUAAUUCAGAACCAAAUACCACUGAGCUUACCUUCCCAUGAAGGUUGAUCAACAGUGUAUAGGUGUCAGUAGAGGGCUGGCAGCCAUCAUUUUUCAUUCGCUGAAAGAUCUCAAUUGCUCUUUGAGGGUUUCCAGCCUUCGUUAACCCAUCAAUAUAAGCAUUGUAUACAAUUGCACCUGGCCAAAAUUAGAGUAUACGCUCACUUUUCACUCUUGAAUGUGCAUGCAAGUGUAUCAACAGAACAGCUUGAAAAACGAAAAUCUGAGAAGUGUAAAUAAGAGAACGAAACACAAAAGCAGAACUAAUGCCCUGUAUUUCACCACCACAAAAAGAAGAGAAAUAACCCACGCAAUCUCAUAAAGGAAAGCUACAGAAGCAAGUUUGUCAUCCAGGAGCCUCUAGCCUAAUCCAGUUCCGGUCUAGCUAAAUUAGCAAGGGGUCCCUCUUGGUUUAAUCAACCAUUCUCUAAGCAUGGUGAUGUAGAUAAGGAGUAGUAAUCACUACUAUUAUAGUAGCAACAAGAAAUAUGCAGACCAUGAACCAAUCUUCUCUUUUCCUACGUUUAGUAUACUUCACCCCCGAAAAGAAAAAAUAAAUACAGCUCUGUGCAAUUAUUGAGCGAGGUUUCAAAAUUUAAAACGAAUUUAACCCCACAAAAAAUCAAUUUUUGAGGAAAAGAAUCUUAAAAGUUGAAGAAAUUUUUGUUUUAUAAGAAAUGGUUGAUCCAAUAACUUCUUGAAAAUACAAUUUCCCUAAAAGCUAAGAAGAAAUGAAUUGGUAAACACAUACUUGGAGGAAGGCUAUACUUUCGCAUAUCAACAAAGGCAGCUUCAGCUUUUUCUAACAAUCCACAUGCACAGUAAGCCUUUAUAAGAAGGGCAUAAGUGUCUUCAGUAGGGAUACACCUGGCUUGAAGAAGAUCAACAUAUGUUUCUUCUGCCUUCUUGUACAAAGAUUUUUGCCCAUAAGCAUCUAUUAGUAAAUUGUAGCACAUGACAUCUGUCUGGAAGGAGCUCUUGUACAAUAUCCAUUGACAUAUCUGGAAAUUUUAGAGUUACACCCAACAAGAUUAUUAAGAAUUAAGAACAAACGAUAUCAAAAAUGUCUAUAUAAUAAAUAGAGACAGUAAAGAGAUUUGUUUCAUUUAGUUGUAGGAAAAUGCUGGUAUAUGAGAAUUCCAAACACCAACUGCAGCACCAACCACUUAAAGGAGAUUUGAACAAUCGAGGAUUCAGUCUUAAUGGUUGAAGAGAAAAAUACUGUGCAAAAUACUGUGCCACAAAAAUAUGUGCGUGCAAGGUGGUUUAAUCCAUCGCCUACCACCUUACACUAUGAAAGAAAUAAGGCACGAUUUACUCACCAAUGCAAUCGGAUCCCAUUGUUUAUUCAAACGAAGUUGGACGGCUACAUUAAUAAGAUCAUCCCAAGUCUCGUGAGUGACAGGAAGAGUAUCAAGAGCAGCCCAAACAUUAUUCGGAUCCACUUCUUUCCGCACAAAGUUCAGAAUCUGAUGAGCAACAGGACUUAGCACGGGAAAAUUCCAUCAACAAAUCCAGAUCCAUAUUUCCAUCCUUGUCCCCUCAAAGAGCCACCUAGGUAAAUUAGACGACUUAAUAAUUAAAGCCAUAUUUGCUUGAGAGUUAUAUGUAUGAGCACAAAGUGAAUUACUCCGUAUUACAUCGUUUCCUGGACAUCUUUUUGUGAUCAAAGAUUCGCCAUUUGCCAUGUUUGUCGAUAUAGACCCUGUCGCUUUUCCACUUUUUAACAUCUCCACUACUGGAAUUCUUUUCUCUGCGUCUGAAAUGACCAUUCCGGAUUCUUGAUUCUAUAAAAAUAUGAUUCAGAGUGCAUCUAACAAGCAACCUGCAAACACUAAUCAAGUAAACACACAAUUGCCAGCAACAAAAUACACACCUCUUAAUUUAAAGCCAUUACACGGAGGAAGCAACCAAAUAAAAUCCAUAUAAAGGAUGCUUUAGACUUCAAAAUAAUUGGACAAAGAGAGACACUAAAACUACUUUUAAUCACAAUAGCAAACACAUGAAAUGCAAACCAGAAAACCUAGUUAAAAAGAAGAAGAAAAGUAGUCAACUUUCCCUUUCUAAACCAAAUAUCUUCUCCCUUUCUUCCGCAAUAAUUCUUAACUGCUGUGAGUAUAGGUUGUAUUUUCAUUACAGAAUCAAAUAUUAGUCUAAUCUAUCUGAUUAAACUACAAAAAUCAAAAUUUGCAAGAUAAACAAGGCCACAACUGUUGAAGACUGGUUAGAGUUCAACAACGAUAAGCAUAGCACUCUGACAGCUAAAACUGGUCCAUCAUCUUAAAACUUAUGAAGUCACAGUAAGACUUUUUAGAUAAUGAUGAUUGCUCGUUCAAUACAUAUGAGAGCCAACAAAAUGCUAAAAUGUUUAAUUAACAAGAACAUAAAACAAAUUAGACAUCCUCUCUCAAGUGAACGUUGAUACUUAGCAAUUCCAUUGAAACCCAUUUCUCAGAACCAGAAAUUCCAUGAAAAAGCAAUAUUAUCCAGCAAGAGGAGAAAGAACCACCAGAAUUGAAGUUAAUAAAUACAGAAAAUAACAAGGCAGCAUGAACAGCAUUAGCAGUGGCAUUGCAUUACGAAAGAGAGGAAGGAAGGACACGACUUACAUGAAAGUAUAAAAGAGGAGUUUGGAGUUGGGUAUCUGUAAACAUCCAGCAAGCAAGAAGAUAUGUGAACUGAAGAGUGUUUUCUUGGAUAAUGGACUCCGUGGGUGAAGACCAGCACUGCCAGACAAAAGUAGCUUCUGUUUUUUUCUGUUUACUAAGGGACAAAAGCCUCAAAAUAUCUCUAACGAACUUAAGGAGUCAAACAAUAGCAUUAUUGUAGCCUCGUGGUGUCUGAGGUUGCAUGGGAUUCUAUAUUGAGACAGUAGCUGAUUAUACAAUGGUUGAUUUAAAAUAACCAACACUACCUUUUUAUACAAAGUGGGAUUGAUGAGGAUAUAAAUCUACACACUCCAACAUUCAAAGUCCCAAUCUUAGAGUCAUUGAUUAGUAUAGUAACGCCUCAUUGGCAAGAACCCAAAUCACUAAGCUCAAAUUACUAAUAAAAAUUACAAAUUUACACCGAAUUUGAACAGAUUUCUACCAACCGAUGUCACUAAAGAAAACACAAAAAAAAAAAAAAAACGCAAAAAAACAAAAGGGCUUCUUGAAUUUAAACCAAAGAAUAUAACAAAACCAAUAAAAAAAAUAAUAAAUGUUUACUUACAGAAGAUUCAUCGACUAAAAUAGAUGGCAAUUUCUUCUCAGUUGCAACAACAACACCGCUUGCCGCUACAACACUAAAAAAAUAAUAAAAUCAACAACAUAGUAUCUAAGCACCCAUCAACAACAUAGUGCAUUCGAAAAUGACAAGAAAAUGAGAAAAGAGAGAGAGGGAGCUUAAAUUGCACCAACCUUUGAUUCCGAGAGAAGUUUGGCCUGAUCCAACGGCAGUCAAUGCGUGCUCAAUCUGUACUAGCUUUCCGGUAGGACUGAAAGUAGUGAGAGAAAAGGAGUACUGGCUAUCACCCAUGGUUUAUUGCUUGAAGACGCAGAGAGGAAAAACUGUGAAUGCGAGUGUGUGGGAGGGAAAGACAGGGAUAUUUACUUGGGGUUUUAACUUUGCUUUUCUCGUUGGAGAAGAAGGUGUUUUCUUACGAGGGCUUUUACAAUGGAGUAUUAUGGGAUUUUAUGACGGCAGGUUGAUCCUCUGUACAUUGAGCUCAAUGAAGGCUCGGGACCAGUUUUGUUUUCAAGUAUUAUUAACAAAUAUUUAUUUAUUUAUUAAUAUACAUAAUUUUUAAUUUAUUUAAUAACAUUUAUAUAUAAUUUUUAAUUUAUUAUAUUUUUGAACUAGAAAAAUAUAUUUAAAGAACUGCAUAUAUAAAUUUUUAUAAAAAAUAAAAUAUUUGACUCACAAUAAAUUAUCCAUAUUUUUAUUAAAAAAAUAAAGUUGGGUAAACUCUUAAUUAGGCCUUGCUACUGAAUUUUGUUGUUGAUUUGUAAUUUAAUUAUUGUUGAAGAUUUUUUGUGUUAGGUUUGGAUAACUUUAUUUGGAUUUAAUCUCCAAAAUCGAAGAGUAUCAUCACUUAUAGAUGAAUGGUUUAGCUUCUCUCAUUUAUUUGGAUUUUAAUCCACUGAAACUGAGGUUUAAGAGUUUCUUGGAUUUAAUCCACUGAAACAGUUGCUUGAUCAAGAUCAUUGGCUUGUUUGAAGGCAGAUAAAGGCAUACAAAAAAAAAGCGAGAGAGAGCGAGAAAGAGAGGAUGUGAGAAAUAAUUAUAGAUAUGAGUUACAGUAGUUGAAACAAAUGAAUUACAGAUCAUUUUAUGGUGAGAGAGAAAGAGAGAGAGAGAGAGAGAAUGUGAGAAAUAAUUAUAUCAUCUUAGAUUACAGAUCAUUUUGAGAAAAUCUAAAAGAAAGUAUCAUCUUAGAUUAAUUAUAGAUAUGAGUUACAGUAGUUGAAAUUUCAAAGGCAAUUUUUUAGAGUAAAGAGGAAAUAAUAUGUUGAGAUGAUGCGAGAGCCCAAUUACAGUAAAGAGGUCAUAUAUUAUUUACACUCAACCUUAGCAAACACCAAAGCAAAACAAAUUAAAUUAAUACACUCAAAGCAGGUUCUAAAGAGUUGUGCCAAUCUUCACCCAUCUCCUCCUUCCCGUAACGUUUCCUUAGAUUGGGGCAACUCUUUAUGUGUAACUCCUGUAGAGGCGCUGCCAAAACAUAGUCCGGUAGUUCUCUCAACAACGGGCAAUUACUAAUCAUCAACUGUCGAAGAUGUGGCAUAAUGGAUAUUAUUGAAGUUGUGAUGGCAUCUUCUUCUCCCACUGAUCUCCUUUCAAUUCCAUCCCACUCUUCUACUUCUGUGAGACUCACAAUUUGUUGUCUCCGUGGACGUACCCGGUUUUUGGGAACCACGUAAAUCUGUUGUUUGUGUUUUAUUUGUGUUUGCUUUUGGUUCAGUAUGCAUAACAAAUUGGUAUCAGAGCGUUUGGGAAGCUAGAACACUGAAAAAAACACGUUUUUCAGCUCUCGGAUCGAAGUUGCAGAAUUUUCAAAGUUCUCAGAUCUUGAUUUUGACCACCUACAGAGAUUCCUCUCGUCGAUACGAGUCCGGCAAUAUAAAGAUCAUCGAAAUCGGAGUUAAAACGAUCCCUGUAGAGCUCGCCGAAGUUUCGCCGGAAAACUGCCGGAAAAACCAGACUGCCGGAAUUCUUGCCUGAGAAGACUGCCACGUCAUCCGCCACGUCACCAAACAGUGACAGAAUAUGCUCUUGACAGAAUGAGAAUAUUCCGUUAACAGAGACAGAAUAUUCCUUUGGCAGUGACAGAAUAUUCUCUUGACAGUGACAGAAUAUUCCCUUGGAUUUGACAGAAUAUUCUUUAUCAGAGACAGAAUAUUCCUUUCCUGAGUCAACUCGGUCAGAUUUGUUUUUUGGCCAACUCAGUGAUUUUAUAUCCCGUUUUUUGGCCAAGUUAAGCUUGUUCCUAGCAUUUUCAACCGUUCCGGACGCAACCGUGGUGUCCGUUUUGUGAAACAGCACACAGAAGUUACUGUUUUGGCUCUUUUGAGCAUAAAAUUGUGUGUUUUAACAAUUUCGGGAGUCCAUUUGUAAUCUAAAGGCGUCCUAAUGGCUGAUAUUCCAGAAGAAAAAUCAGCGGGGAAUGCUAGUAUACCUCCACAAUACAUCCCGGUAUCGAAUACCAAAUUUGAGGUGGAGAAGUUUGACGGGAAAGGUAAUUUUGGCAUGUGGAAAUGUGAAGUUAUGGAUAUGCUUGUCCAAAUGAAUUUGGAUUUCACUCUAGAAGAUAAACCAAGAGGAUUUGGAUGAGAAAAGCUGGGGGAGGAUAAAUCGGUUAGCUUGCAGUUCCAUCCGACUUUGUCUUGUAAAAGAUCAAAAGUACGCCUUUUCAGAACAAAACUCUGCAAAGGAAUUAUGGCAAGCACUGGAGGACAAGUUUAUGAAGAAGAGUAUAGAGAAUCGUCUCUACUUGAAGAAAAGAAUCUUCCGUUUUCAGCACAAGAAAGGUACUUCCAUGAAUGAGCAUCUGAAUGAUUUCAAUAAAAUGAUAGCUGAUUUGAAGAAUUUAGAUGUGGAAAUAGAUGAUGAAGAUAAAGCUCUGUUAUUAUUGAAUUCACUGCCUGACACAUAUGAACAUCUCGUCACCACUUUACUGUAUGGUAAAGAAAAGAUUAAAUUCAUUGAUGUGUCCAAUGCUUUGGUGAAUAAUGAGUACCGGAAGAAGGACCAGAUUGUUCACAAGGAGUCAACGUCAGAAGCAUUGACAGUUAGAGGCAGAACAAACCCUAGAAGAUUUCGAGGGCGAGGGAGAUCUCGCUCAAAAUCUAGAGGAGAAUCAUCAAACAGGCGAUAUCUUGCAAAAGAUGAGUGUGCCUUUUGUCACAAAAAGGGGCACUGGAAGAAAGAUUGUCCAAUCAAGGGCAAUAAGGAAAAAGAUGAACCAACUGUGAACGUUGCACGAGAAGAAGAUGAACGAGACUCUGCAUUCAUGGUCUCAUCACCAGAAAAACAUUGUGGUGAAUGGAUUCUUGAUUCUGCAUGUUCUUAUCACAUGUCCCCUAACAAGCACUUAUUCUCGAGACUUGAGGAGUUCGAUGGAGGAGUUGUGUUUAUGGGCAAUAAUAAUGUUUCUGAGGUCAAAGGGAUUGGGACUAUCCAUCUGAAGAUGCAUAAUGGGGUAGUCAAGACACUAACAGAGGUACGGUAUGUACCUGACUUGAAGAAAAAUCUCUUCUCACUUGGAGUCCUAGAAUCCAGUGGUUAUAAGAUUAUCAUGCAUGGUGGAGUCCUCAGAGCAAUCCGUGGUGCAUUAGUUGUCUUAAGAGGCACGAGGAUAGGAAACUUAUAUUUCCUAGAUGGAUCUACUGUUACUGGUAUAGCAGCUGUUUCCAAAAGCCUAGAAGAUGCUGAAGCAGAUAAUUCCAGACUUUGGCACAUGCGCUUAGGGCAUGCUGGUGAAAAGGCUUUGCAAGGACUAGUCAAGCAAGGUCUAUUAAAAGGCGCCAAGACUGGGAAGCAUGGGUUCUGUGAGCAUUGUGUUCUUGGAAAACAGACAAGGGUCAAGUUUGGCACUGCAAUACACAACACAAAAGGGAUUCUAGAUUAUGUUCACACAGAUGUAUGGGGACCUUCAAAGAAUGAAUCUCUUGGAGGUAAUCGUUGGUUUGUUACUUUUAUUGAUGAUUUCUCAAGACGAGUAUGGGUGUACAUGAUGAAACACAAGGAUGAGGUCCUUGAUAUCUUUCUGAAAUGGAAGAAAAUGGUGGAGACUCAAACGGGAAGGAGAGUUAAGACUCUUCGGUCAGAUAAUGGUGGUGAGUACACUUCAGAUCCUUUCUUUGAAGUUUGCCAGGAUGAAGGGAUCAAGCGACAUUUUACUGUGCGCAAAACACCACAACAAAAUGGAGUAGCAGAACGCAUGAACCGCACAUUGGUGGAGAAAGUCCGAUGUAUGCUAUCACAUUCGGGACUAAGCAAAGUGUUCUGGGGCGAGGCAUUAAGCUAUGCCGUCAUAUUGUUAAUCGGUUACCUUCAGCAGCAUUAAAUGGAAGAACCCCCUUGGAGGUAUGGUCAGGCUCUCCUGCAAAUGAUUAUGACUCUAUGCGUAUAUUUGGUUGCUCAGCAUAUUAUCAUGUUACUGAGUUAAACUAGAUCCUAGAGCCAAGAAAGCUAUAUUUUUGGGCUUUAGUGGAGGAGUAAAAGGUUACAGACUCUGGUGUUCUGAAUCAAAGAAAGUGAUUUUGAGUAGAGAUGUCACUUUUGAUGAGUCUGGCAUGUUACAGCAGGAGAAAUCACAGGAGAAGGAAAAACAGUCUGGUGAUGCACAACAGGUGGAGUUGGAGACUUCAGUCAUCCCUAUAAAGACUGUUCAGACAAUCCCUACUGAAGGAGAUUCAGAUGAAAGUUCAGAUGAAGAGGAUGCAACAACUCCAGCAACCACACAACAAGAAUCCAUUGCAACGAGUAAACCGAAAAGAGUUAUCAAGAAACCUGCUCGGUAUUGUGACAUGGUGGCUUAUGCACUUCCAGUGAUUGAUGAUGGAAUCCCCUACACCUACAAAGAAGCAGUACAGAGUGUAGAAAGUGCAAAAUGGAAAGAGGCAAUGGAUGAAGAGAUGAAAUCUCUCCACAAGAAUCAGACUUGGGAUUUGGUACAACUCCCUAAGGAAAAGAAGACAAUUGGUUGCAAGUGGGUAUAUGCCAAGAAGGAAGGUAAUCCUGGAAAAGACAACAUCCGAUUCAAAGCAAGAUUGGUAGCAAAAGGCUAUGCUCAGAAGGAGGGGAUAGAUUAUAAUGAGGUAUUCUCUCCAGUUGUUAAGCAUUCAUCAAUUCGUAUUUUGCUAGCCUUAGUUGCACAAUUUGAUUUGGAGUUAGCCCAACUUGAUGUGAAAACUGCCUUCCUACAUGGAGAUUUGGAAGAGGAAAUUUACAUGUCUCAGCCAGAUGGUUUCAAAGUCACUGGGAAAGAGAAUUGGGCUUGUAAACUGAAGAAGUCAUUGUAUGGCUUGAAACAAUCUCCUCGCCAGUGGUAUAAGCGAUUUGAUAAGUUCAUGACAGAACAUGGAUACACACGGAGUCAGUUUGACAACUGUGUAUAUUUUCGCAGACUUCUUGAUGGUUCUUUCAUCUAUUUGCUCUUAUAUGUGGAUGAUAUGUUGAUUGCAUCAAAGAGCAAGGUGGAGAUUGAUAGACUGAAAGCUCAACUGAGAACUGAGUUUGAAAUGAAGGACCUUGGAGAAGCUAAGAAGAUUCUUGGCAUGGAGAUUCAGAGAGACAGAAGAAAAGGCACAGUCUGUUUGACACAGACCCAAUACUUGAAGAAACUUCUACAGAGAUUUGGGGUAGAUGGUAAGACCAAGCCGGUAAGCACACCUUUAGCUCCUCAUUUUAAGCUAAGUGCUUCAAUGUCUCCACGCACAGAGGAAGAGCGCAAACAUAUGGCUCAAAUUCCGUAUGCAAAUGCAGUUGGUGCAUUAAUGUAUGCAAUGGUUUGUACGAGACCAGAUAUUUCACAUGCUGUCAGUAUGGUGAGCAGGUAUAUGCAUGAUCCGGGAAAGGGUCACUGGCAGGCAGUUAAGUGGAUUCUACGGUACAUUCAUGGCACAACUGAUAUUGGUUUGAAGUUUGAGAGGGAUGAUAGACUCGAGCAAAAUUUAGUUGGUUAUGUGGAUUCGGAUUAUGCUGGUGACUUAGACAAGCGUCGUUCCACAACAGGCUAUGUGUUUACACUUGCUAAAGGGCCUGUAAGUUGGAGGUCAACUUUACAAUCAACAGUAGCUUUGUCAACAACUGAGGCAGAGUACAUGGCAGUAACAGAAGCUUUCAAGGAAGCUAUUUGGUUACAUGGGUUGAUUGAAGAUUUGGGAAUUGUUCAAGAGCACGUGGAUGUCCAUUGUGAUAGUCAAAGUGCUAUUUGUCUUGCAAAGAAUCAGGUUCAUCAUUCCCGCACCAAGCACAUCGAUGUUCGAUUUCAUUUUGUUCGAGAAAUUGUGGAUGAAGGGGAUAUUCUGCUACAGAAAAUUGUACUAUAGAUAAUCCAGCUGACAUGCUCACAAAAUGUGUCUCAGGGAUCAAGUUCCAACAUUGUUUGGACUUGGUCAACAUCUCUCGGUGUUGAGCACCUUCAGGGUGCAAUGCCAUAUGGCGCAAUGGAGGCGGCAUUGAUUAAUCACGAGUAUUGGAUGGAAAAAUCUUGCAAAGGUGGAGAUUUGUAGCAAAUUGUCAACAUUUGAAAAUUGUCAACAUUUUUCUCAACAACCCUCUCCUUUACUCAACCACUAUCAACCACCCUCUCCUUCUUUUUGACCAUUAUCACUUCUCAUCAAGGUGCUGCCAAAGCUCUCCUAUAAAGACAGAGACGAGAGAGUGCAGGGUAGAAGAGAGGAAGUGUCAAGUGCAGAGGAAGUGUGGUGAGUGCAAGUGAGUGCAACUGUGAGAGUGAAAAAUACAGAUUUGAGAGAAACACAGAGUGUUAGAGUGAAACACUGGGUUUUGUGGGGAUUGUAUUGGGGUUGAGUUGAGUGUUUGUAUUAUUCCUCCAAUAAUAUACAAUCUGUUGUCUCCGUGGACGUACCCGGUUUUGGGAAACCACGUAAAUCUGUUGUUUGUGUUUUAUUUGUGUUUGCUUUCGGUCCAGUAUACACAACACACGUUUCUACACUAACGGAGUGUAAGCACCUGUAAUCUGGUUAAUGUCAUCAUCCAAUUUGGCCAUUCCAACCCUCCGUAACUCCAUAUGAUUAGAUUUUCCAAGUCUGACGGAGGCUGUAAAGCUUCAAUUAAAAUGCCGUUCUCCUGGUUGUAGUAGAAAUCCAAUUCCAAACGAAGCAGGCGCUUCUUAUUCUUGAGUUGUGCUUCUGCAGCGUCACUCGCAUCUUCUUUACCUCCUCCUAGAUUACUUAUAAUAAGACUCCCUCCAAUGUGAUUUAAGUUUUUUAAUUCUCUUAGAUUAGCUGCUUUACUUUCAUUCUCACCACCAGCACACACAGUAAACACAUCUAAUGUUCGAAGACAUGUUAUCCUCUCUAUUCCCUUUGGUAUGAAGGCCACACCUGAAUCAUAAAUCCGGAGAUGCCUCAAUUUGAUAAGUUUUCCAAUCGCCUUGGGCAAUUCCUUGAGAGACCGACACCAAGUAACGUCUAGGGAUUGCAGAUUGCAUAAAUCACACAUGGUUUCUGGCAGGGACUCCAACUCUCCACACCAUGCCAAAUUGAGGUGUCUCAAAUGUAUCAAUUUCCCUACCUCGUUUGGUAUUUCUUUGAUUGAAGACCUUGUCAAAUUCAAUGACCUGAUGCAUGUCAACUGUUUGAACAAAUCAGGCAGUGCAGCUCCAAGCGAAGGGUCUCUAGUGCCGAUCAAGAGGCUGCGAAGACCUUUUGCUUUGUGAAUGGACUUGGGAAAAGAGCUCUCCUCUGACAGCAUCAUGCUUAAAUGACGAACCCUUUCAAUUGAAGUCUCCAUUGUUGCUUCUCCAAGUUUACUGGCAUCCACUGUUAGACAUUCAUUUUUUGUCAUAUAUUGGGCAAAAUCAUGCACUAUAUCAUGCAUCUUGAAUUUCAUUCCUUCAAACCAAUGCCUCUCAAAAUCUUGGAAGAAAGAGCGCGCUGCCAAGACUUGAAAGCACUCCUCUCCAACAAGCUCCAUAUCUCCACCUGAAGUCUCCUUGAAGUAACCUUGAGCCAUCCACAUCUUCACCAAUUCAGAUUUUCCCAUCUCGUAGCCUUUUGGAAACAUGGCACAAUACAAGAAACAUCGUCUUACCCUUGCACUUAUUUGCAAUUUUAUCGCUGGUUUCUGUCAAUCUUUCGCACUCAUCUUUGCUUCUUUUAUUGAAUGCCACCUGAAUGAAUAUGGACCUGCAUACCUCAUCAGACAAUCUCUCAAGGAUGAUCAUGUGGUCGGUUCCCAUCAUGGUUGCCACAGAAUGUUUACGAGUGGUCACUAGAAUUCUGCUUCCUGGUGCUCCGCCUUUGAGAGAGUGUUUCAGCGGUUCCCAUUGUCCAUAAUUUUCUGUCCAGACAUCAUCUAGGACAAGAAGGAACCUCUUUCCCUUAAUGGAUUCAGAAACCCUUUGCAAAAGGGAUUGCAAUUCAACCAAAUCCGGUGCCCUCCCUUCAAGCUGCUCGAGGAUAGCUUUGCCUAUCCUAACCUCAUCAAAUGGAUCUGAAACACACACCCAUAUCUUCUCAAAAUGAGCCGUAACCUCAGCAUCAUUAAAAGCUAGUUGGGCGAGAGUUGUCUUUCCAAUCCCGCCCAUCCCUACUAUAGAGAUGACCUCUACGUCCCCUGCUUCCUGAAUACUUUCGCCCAGCAACUUGCUUACUACAGCUUCCCUUUCAUCAUCUCGACCAGUCACGAUUGAUUCAUCAACAAGGGAGGUACUUGUUAUUCGUUGGAGUUCAUCAGUGGCUCUGUACGGAUCAAAGCCAUACAUAGCUCUCGCUUUCGCAAUGUCAUCCACUUUUUCACAUACUUCUUUGAUCUUGAGGGCAAUGUCUCGACGUCGAACCACUUGAUUGAGACAAAAGCAAGGAGAUUUCAGGAAGGAACAUCGCAUCUUCUGUAGGCUGCGAGUAUUUUCUUCAGCUUCCUCCAUUUUCCAUGUAAGAAUUGCUGAGCUCCAUUCAUCUAGCACGUCAUCCAUAUCAUAACAUACAUCUUUGAGCUUGUCUACCCAAUCUCUUACAGCCUUAUCCUUCACUUGUUUUCUAUCUGCGUCUUCAAGGAUAGAUUGGAUAACAAUGAGAUUGCUUUUCAGCUUGUCGACUUCGUUUCUUCACACCCCCUACUAGGUUCACCUCUUCAUGUACCUAUUAGGGUAGAAAAGAUCAGAAAGUUCAAGCAGAGGAAACAUUUCUAUGAUUUCAAUACAAGUUUUUUUAUUUUAAUUUUUCGUAAUUAAUAGAUUAAAUAAUUUUUAUUAAUCUUUUUUUUUGCAGUAGUUGACACGUGCUGUGAAAUGGAUUGGCUAUAUUAAUAACUUAUAUAUAAAAUAUUUAUUGAAAACUUAUAUAUUAAAGAUAAUGCUUCUUUUUAUCAUCAUCAUGAUGAUAUCUCUCUGCACUCUGCUACUAUACAAGGAAGAAAAUGAAUCUUAAAUUGUUCCAAUCAAAGAAAUAUAGUGAUUAAAAGGAUCUGUAUUUGUUGGUAUUUGUAAAGUCUAUUUGGAAAUAAAUAUUCUUCCUUUAAAGUGAACUAAUUAUUUUAACAUUUGAUUGAUUAUUUUACCCUUAGCAGUUCAGUUUAAUGAGAGGAUUGACAACUCCUUUUUCCUUCUAAAGAUUAUUUCCAGAAAUAUGAAAAAUAAUAAAACAAUAAAAAUAAAUUUCCUUAAUAAAAUCCAAAUCUAGAUCUGAGUAUUUGAGAUUUUAUUUUAUUUUUAUGGUAGAGGAACAAAAAAAGACUUCAUUUUUAUAUUUCUUAUUCAUGUUAGGUUAAUUGGAUCAUUGCAAAUUGUAGAAAGGCAAUUACCUGUUGAGCAACGAUCCUCGUUAACUGCUCCAGAAUUGGCGAUAAAAGUGCCUCUGCCAUUUGUCUGUUUACUUUUAUUUUAUUUCUUAAAAAAAGAGAGACAAUGAUGAUAGGAUGAACAGAGAGGGAGAGAGAAGAGAGUAUGAGGGGAAGGAGGCUGCUGAUUUAGUUAGUUUAGAGCGGAGAAGCUAAAUGAAUAGCUAAAAAUAAAAAAUUAAUAUUUUAGUUUUUCUUUACUUGUUUUAUACACUCCAAGAAAAAAGUCAAAUAAAAUACUAAAAUACCUUUUUUCUCCCACAAAUGUUAUUCCUAUAUAUCUCUCAAAAGAGCCAAAAUUAAUCAAGUGGGGCCAACAAAAGAAUAAACCAAUUAAAUCUAGCCAUGUGAAAAAAAAAUAACAUCAAAAUCAUUAAAAAAAAUAAAACACUUCUUUAUUCUACUCUAAUAGAAUUGGCUUUUUAAAUGGCUUUUUUUCCAUUAGAAUAUACAUGAUAAAAAAAGUUAUAUUUAUACUAUUCAAAAUGCUAUUUUAUCAAUUUAUCUUUUUAAAAUAGCAUUUUACUUUGGAGAUGUUCUUAUAUGUGCUUAGGGUUUGGUGGUGAGGGUUGACUUUUGUUUCAAUGCCUGCGCUGUUUCUAACAUUUCAAUUCAGUCCCUAUAUUAUUGAACUUUUCAGUCUAGUGUCGGUCAGGGUUUUGUUAACAGGAAAAGGAUUGCAGGGAUGGCUGGUCUGAGUGAUGGAAGCUGGCUGAAGCUGGGGCUGUGUGGAUAUCAGUUAAAUUUUGAUGCAGGCUCUUGAACUAGAAACCAUGUAUUAGUUGUCUCAUAUAGGACACUUUACUAUUACAUUUUGAUGCUGGCUCUUGAACCAUUACCCUCUUCGCUCCAGUUGAGAAGAAUUUUUAAUUUAUAUUCCUGAUGAUCAUCGUUAUGCUAUGUAAUGUAGUGAUUCAAUCGCGCCAUUUCUUAUGUUUAGAAAUCUAUGUUUUGGUAACUUGUCUCUUGUUUUUUUUUUUUUCUUGUUGGGUUGCUCAGGUGCUAUCUACAUUGAUUCUGAUAUCAUAGUUUUGAAUUCAUGGUCUUCACUUAAUAACACGAUUGGUCUGGAGAAUUCUACUGAGAGAUUAUCGCAUUCUACUGAAAUUCCUGAAAUUGAUUAUAGCAUUCUACUGAAAUUCCUGCUUCUCAUCUGUUUCUCCAUUUCUUCUCUUCAUUUAAUGUUUAUCUGGUAUCAGUAGCAUGUGCUGGUCAUGGCAAAAAAGUAUGGAAGGAUUGCUGGUUUGCGUGAAUGGAGCUCCUUUAAAUGGGAGGUUCGUUUGUGAAGGGGAGCAAAUGGGUGUGAAAAGGACAAGAAAUGAGGAAAGAAUUCAUAUUGUCUGGACCACAUCACCUUCCUUUCUUCUUCUUUUUUUUGUUUUCAUUCCUUUUUUAUUGUCUCUUUCUACUUUUUCAUAAUGAAAUUCAGAUCUAAAUUACAGAGGAAAUCAGCAUGCUAGAUUCAGCAGCGUUUGGGGUCAGAAUGCCAUUGUUGGGAAGAAGACAACAAAUUAUGUGUAGCUUAGCAGCCAUUGUUGCUGCUUCAGGAACACCAAACUCCCUUGUCAAAAAACUGGAUCCAUAUGCAUUUUGCAAUUAAGUCAUUAUGCUUUAAACUCAUUCUAUGUGUCUUUCCUUACAAAAAAAAAAAAAAAAAAUGGUUAUUUGCUGUCUUCAAACCCGAGAGUUUCGUUGCGUUCUGUUUCAAUUCAGUCAGUCUUUAUUAGUCAAUGCUUCGUAGAACAGAGGCACCUCAUUGCAGAGUGCGGGUACAAAACUAGUGUUGAGGUGAGGUCAUAUGUCCUACCAAAAUGGAUUUUGAUCAUAAUAAUUAGAAGAAGAAAAAAAAACAACAUUAAUAAUUGAUCAUCGUGGCUACAAAAUGAAGUGGAACUAAUAAUUAAUGGAGUGUAUAUAAUAAUCAUAAUCAUAAUAAUACUAAAUAAAAUGAAUUACUAUGUGUAUUCUAUAAUUUAGUUAUAUAAUAUAGCAGAUCUGUACAAAUUAGUAAUUUCAACUUACCAAUAAAAAAAUUAUAGUAGAUUUUUACCGUGGUAUGAUUGCAAUAAAUAAAAUAAAAUAAAUUUACUUCACAGCAUUAAUAAUUUUUUAGUUUUUGUCAAACAAUAUCAACACACAUGUAUAUUAUGCAUUCACUCAUUUUUUUAAAAAUAAUUAUAAUAAAAUUAAUUAGUUAUUUAUUAUAAAAACUAGACCUAUAAGUUAUGUCUAAGCUGUUAAAAAUAAUAAAAAUAAAAUAAUUUAAAGAUAUAAUAUAUUUUAAAUAAAAUUAUUAGUCAAUCUAUAUCGAGUUGUUUUAUCUACUAAAUUAAAAAAUUUAAGUUUUUAUAUCACUUAGAAUACUUAUGUUGAAUUUAAUCCAUAAAAUCGAUGGGUAUCAUCUCUUACAGAUGAAUCGAUGGGUAUCAAGUUACAUGCCAUCUUGCAACUUCGAAUAACAGACCACUCGACUGGCUCCAAAAUCAAACCAUCUCCACCUCAUUCAACACGAUUUAAAAUAAUCAACACCACCUUUUUAUACAAUGUGGGAUUGAUGAGGAUAUAAAUCUACAAACUCCAUCCAAAGUCUCAAUCUUAUAGUGUUCUUAACUAGUAUAGUAACGCCUCAUUGGCAAGAACCCAAAUCACUAAUAAAAAUUACAACUUUACACCGAAUUUGAACAGAUUUCUACGAGCCGAUGUCACUAAACUCAAAUUACUCCUAAAAAUCUCAAUAUAAACCCAUUAACUACUAGACCAACACCUCAUUGGCUAGAAUCCACGUUGCUUUUCCACAACAAUCAUCAGCUUCUUCAAUUAGGAUGCUACAAGCCCUUGUCUAUAUACUAGCUUAAAUUGCGACAACCUUUGAUUCCGAGAGAAGUUUGGCCUGAUCCAACGGCAGUCAAUGCGUGCUCAAUCUGUACUAGCUUUCCGGUAGGACUGAAAGUAGUGAGAGAAAAGGAGUACUGGCGACCCAUGGUUUAAUGCUUCAACACGCAGAGAGGAAAAACUGAGAAUGCGAGCGUGUGGGAGAGAAAGAAAGGGAUAUUUACUUGGGGUCUUAACUCUGCUUUUCUUGUUGGAGAAGAAGGUGUUUUCUUACGAGGGCUUUUACAAUGGAGUAUUUUGGGCUUUUAUAACGGCAGCUUGGUUCUCUUUACAUUGAGCUCAAUGUUUUUCCCAGAAAUCUGCCCUUCAAAUCUGCAAACACAAACAAUCUUGUAAGGGUACAAGGGAAGCACUCAGAACUUGUAAGAAACUUUAAAAUGCUCAUUUAUAUCUCUCUUUGACCACUUUGCAAAAACUAAGAUUAUGCUCACUAGUCCACCAUCACUCUGAUUAUAGAAGCAAGACUCGACAAUUUAACAACUUAAAAUCACUAAGAGGAAAGAAAAGGAACCUUCAAGCACCUGCAAGUACAUUUGAUUGACACUGGGUUGAGAAACUUUCAUUCAUUUUCACUUAAACAGUAUCUCACAUAAUUUAAUCUCCUGAACUACUAACUAAAGUGUUGAGAGCCAAUUUUGACAUAGGUAAUAAGUUGCACAAGUUAGUAAGAAGUGGCUCAUUGAGCAACCAAAUUGCCAAGAUGUCUUAUUUCAAACCCAAGAACAGAGGAAUGCCUUAUUUUUAUUUUUCUAAGGAACUACAUAUUUGCCCCCCUCUUUUUUUCAGUUGAAACAGAAACAGGGUACAUGUACAACGUGUUAAAGUCAAGUCCAUAACCAGACCAAUUAAGAACAUUGACCUACAAGGAGUUCCACUGAAGUUCAGAUUAUAAGCAGGCAUGCUUCUAUCUCAAUUUACCACCCCGGGUCAAAUUUCACACUUAUCAGGACACUAUAACAACAGCAGAAACUUUACAAUUUCCCACCAAACAUAAAGAGAGCUUUGAAUCUACACACCCGCCUGCUACAAUCAUUCAUGACAGAUAUUUUAGCAAAAUUAAGGCCAGAGAAACACAAGCUAAAAAAAUGGAACUUCCUAAUUACUGAGAAGCAGGCAGAAACAAACCUGUAGACAACUCCAAUAUUGGGUGUCAGAUUCUGUAUUUUCUGAACCUGAAACAGGAAGCAAUUAAAUACCAUCAACAACCAACUCAAGUUACAUCCCAUCUUGCAAAUUAGAAUAAUAGACCAAUCAACUGGCUCCAAAAUCAAACCAUCUCCACCUCAUUCAACACGAUUUAAAAUAACCAACACUACCUUUUUAUACAAAGUGGGAUUGAUGAGGAUAUAAAUCUACACACUCCAACAUUCAAAGUCCCAAUCUUAGAGUCAUUGACUAGUAUAGUAACGCCUCAUUGGCAAGAACCCAAAUCACUAAGCUCAAAUUACUAAUAAAAAUUACAAAUUUACACCGAAUUUGAACAGAUUUCUACCAACCGAUGUCACUAAAGAAAACGCAAAAAAAAAAAACGCAAAAAAACAAAAGGGCUUCUUGAAUUUAAACCAAAGAAUAUAACAAAACCAAUAAAAAAAUAAUAAAUGUUUACUUACAGAAGAUUCAUCGACUAAAAUAGAUGGCAAUUUCUUCUCAGUUGCAACAACAACACCGCUUGCCGCUACAACACCAAAAAAAUAAUAAAAUCAAACAACAUGGUAUCUAAGCACCCAUCAACAACAGUAGUGCAUUCGAAAAUGACAAGAAAAUGAGAAAACAAGAGAGAGAGGAGCUUAAAUUGCAACAACCUUUGAUUCCGAGAGAAGUUUGGCCUGAUCCAACGGCAGUCAAUGCGUGCUCAAAUCUGUACUAGCUUUCCGGUAGGACUGAAAGUAGUGAGAGAAAAGGAGUACUGGCUAUCACCCAUGGUUUAUUGCUUAAGACGCAGAGAGGAAAAACUGAGAAUGCGAGUGUGUGGGAGAGAAAGACAGGGAUAUUUACUUGGGGUUUUAACUUUGCUUUUCUCGUUGGAGAAGAAGGUGUUUUCUUACGAGGGCUUUUACAAUGGAGUAUUAUGGGCUUUUAUGACGGCAGGUUGAUCCUCUGUACAUUGAGCUCAAUGAAGGCUCGGGACCAGUUUUGUUUUCAAGUAUUAUUAACAAAUAUUUAUUUAUUUAUUAAUAUACAUAAUUUUUAAUUUAUUUAAUAACAUUUAUAUAUAUAAUUUUUAAUUUAUUAUAUUUUUUGAACUAGAAAAAAUAAUUUUCCAGAUCGUGAUGUAUAUUUCUCACAUUGUUUAAAGAAGCUAAUUUAACAUUUUUGUUUAGUAAACUAAAUAUUCAACAACUUGGGCGACAAAUAUCUGGUUGCAGCGUGCAGAGAGUAAAAACAAAAUAACUCCCACAAAACCGUUGACCCAUUUUAGACAUGAAGCCAUAGUGUUGUUCGGGGCCCAGCACCGUAAGAGGAAGGCUCCCUCUAAAUUAUAAUUUGGCCCCCUUAAUUUUUUUUCCUUGCUCCGCCCCUGCAUGGAGGGUGGUGAGUUUUGGAUCUAUAAUUAUGCUCUCCAGCGUUUUAUUCAUUGGCUUGGACAGCCUGGCUAACAAUAAUAGCAUAACCACUGCAACAGUGGUUUACAAAUGAUACAUACCUCUUCAGCUUGCUUCCCUCAUUUAUUUGGAUUGAAUCCACUGAAACUGAGGUUUAAGAAUUUCUUGGAUUUAAUCCACUGAAACAGUUGCUUGAUCAAGAUCAUUGGCUUGUUUGAAGGCAGAUAAAGGCUUAAAAAAAAAAAAAAAGCGAAAGCAAGAAAAGGAGGAUGUGAGAAAUAAUUAUAGAUAUGAGUUCCAGUAGUUGAAACAUAUGAAUUACAUAUCAUUUUAUGUUGAGAGAGAAAGAGAGAGAGAGAGAGAGAGGAUGAGAGAGAGGUAUAUCACAGCUGCAUUUGAUAGACUAAAUGGUAAGUAGGAAAUAAAAUCGAAUUACAGUAAAAAGGUCACAUUGAAUGAAAUCCUCCAUGUAAGUAAAAAAGGUCCACAGAGUAAAUGGUAAGAAUUAACACCAAAGCAAAUAACUAACACUCAGAACCAAAUCUUUUACCGUUAAGAAUUAACACUGGUAGAAGAAUUUACCUCUUCCUGCUGGUUCUAAAGACUAAAGAAUUUACCUAUAUAGCAUCAAAAUUAAUCUUUGGGAUGUGAGAAAUCUUUUGCCAAUCUUCACCCAUCUCCUCUUUCCCGUAAUGUUUCCUUAGAUUGGGGCAUCUACAUAUAUUUAAUUCCUGUAGAGGCGCUGCCAAAACAUAGUCUGGUAGUGCUCUCAACAACGGGCACUGGUUAAUUCCCAAAUAUUGAAGUUGUGGCAUAAUGGAUAUUAUUGAAGUUGUGUUGGCAUCUUCUUCUCCCACUCUCCUUCCAAUUCCUUCCCACUCUUCUACUUCUUUGAGGAAAAAAAUGCCAAGUUUUUUUAAUUUGGGGAAAGCAGUGACCCUUGCAAUUUCUCCUUCAUUAAUACUGGCAUUCUCAUCUUUUUCUAUACCUAAAAAUCCAGCAUCCAACCUUCUCACCUUCAACGAGCUCAAUACCAGGAUUUCAAGGUUGGGCAAUCUCCCCAACGGAGGCAAGACCUCCGCGUUUUCGCCAAAAUCAAGUCUAAGCUCCUGUAAUCUGGUUAAUGUCAUCAUCCAAUUUGGCAAAUCCAACCCUCCGUACCUAGAUAUGGUUAGAUUUUCCAAGCCUGACGGAGGCCGUAAAGCUUCAAUUAAAGAGCCUUCAUUCAUUUGCAACUCUGUUUUCUCUCUGUCGAAAUCCAAUUCCAAACGAAGCAGGCUCUUCUUAUUCUUGAGUUGUGCUUCUGCAGCGUCACUCGCAUCUUCUUUACCUCCUCCUAGAUUCCGUAUACGAAGACUCCCUCCAAUGUGAUUCAAGUCUUUUAAUUCUCUUAGAUUAGCUGCUUUACUUUCAUUCUCACCACCACCACACACAGUAAACACAUCUAAUGUUCGAAGACAUGUUAUCCUCUCUAUUCCCUUUGGUAUGAAGGCCACACCUGAACGAUAAAUCCGGAGAUGCCUCAAUUUGAUAAGUUUUCCAAUCGCCUUGGGCAAUUCCUUGAGAGACCGACACCAAGUAACAUCUAGGGAUUGCAGAUUGCAUAAAUCACACGUGGUUUCUGGCAGGGACUCCAACUUUCCACACCAUGCCAAAUUGAGGUGUCUCAAAUGUAUCAAUUUCCCUACCUCGUUUGGUAUUUCUUUGAUAGAAGACUCUGACAAAUUCAAUGACCUGAUGCAUGUCAACUGCUUGAAUAAAUCAGGUAGUGCAGCUCCAAGCGAAGGGUCUCUAGUGUGGAUCAAGAGGCUGCGAAGACCUUUUGCUUUGUGAAUGGACACGGGAAAAGAGGUCUCGUUGGCCAACAUCAUGCUUAAAUGACGAACCCUUUCAAUUGAAGUCUCCACUGUUGCUUCUCCAAGGUAUUGACAUCCACUGUUAGACAUUCAUUUUUUGUCAUAUAUUGGGCAAAAUCAUGCACUAUAUCAUGCAUCUUGAAUCUGAUAAUUUCUAGACCAUACUUCUUACAAUCUUGGAAGAAAGAGCGUGCUACCAAGACUUGAAAGCACUCCUCUCCAACAAGCUCCAUAUCUCCACCUGAAGUCUCCUUGAGGUAACCUUGAGCCAUCCACAUCUUCACCAAUUCAUAUUUUCUCAUCUCGUAGUCUUUUGGAAACAUGGCACAAUACAAGAAACAUCGUCUUACCACAGAAGGUAAAUCGUAGUAACUCAAAAGCAAAGGUGGAAAUAGUCCUCUUUCAACAUGUUCUAGCUCCCACAGUUCGCUAGAUAAAACAUGUUCCCACUCUUCUCUUGUUCUUUUAGACUGCAUUAGACCUCCUAAUACCUUGGCAGCUAGAGGCAAGCCCUUGCAAUUGCUUGCAAUUUUGCCGCCUAUUUCUGUCAAUCUUUCGCGCUCAUCUUUGCUUCUUUUAUGGAAUGCCAACUGAUUGAAUAUUGACAUGCAUACCUCAUCAGACAAUUUCUCAAG
This 71825-nucleotide long non-coding RNA is filed under the name Populus tremula. RNAcentral's name for it is "long non-coding RNA (PTRE_LNC003209)". The record is from RNAcentral. Lineage: Eukaryota; Viridiplantae; Streptophyta; Magnoliopsida; Malpighiales; Salicaceae.